This 62214-nucleotide long non-coding RNA is filed under the name Citrus maxima (pomelo). Its description in RNAcentral is "long non-coding RNA (CMAX_LNC002437)". The record is from RNAcentral. Lineage: Eukaryota; Viridiplantae; Streptophyta; Magnoliopsida; Sapindales; Rutaceae.
AAAAAGGCUCCCGGAAAAAGAAAAAAAAAAAAGAGAGAUAGAGAGAGAGAGAUUGAUGAAAGACUACUACAUCUUAUGCUGCUUUGACAAACAUCAAUGUGUUUCUGAGUGAGAAUUACUUGUGUGGAGCGAAUUAGCAGGCCAUGGGACCCACAUACAUAUAAUUUAGUUUUUGGGUCCCGCCUGAUCAGUCGCACCACCUUAGCAGCCUAACCCACAUAAGUUCUCAGACGCAUCACCUUGGCAGCCUAACCCACACAAGUUCUCAGUCAGAGUAAGUAUCCACAGCAAAGAACCACACAUCAAAGUGUAUGAAUUUUGCUAAUUGUUUAUCAAUAGGACAAUCCAAUAAAAUAAUGCCAUGAAUGUAUUUUGUCACUCACUUCUGUAACUACUAUCAUAAUCGGUCAAUUUCAAAAUAAAUGCAGUAACAUUCUACUAAAUAACCAUUUAAAAAUAAAUAGUAUGUCUACCCCAGCCAAGUCUUUUUUCCUAAAGAAUAAAAGAAAUAUUUCAUUACAAAUAAAUUGGGAAUCCUAAAUUAUCCAGGAUUAAAUGUAUCCAUUUGCAGUUUUACUUCUUUAGUCCAAUCUUCAAGAAGGCUAAAAAUCUUACAGAUCUGAGGCUGUACGAAGAAGCCAAAGGUUGUGAUCCAGCAGCCCCCUAAGGGUUUAUGUUAAUCCAACUAAUCCUCCAUCAAAAAAGCCAAGAUCAUGAAACUACUGCCAACAUAACAGAUGACAGGAAAGUAUAUCAGCUGUCCGCGUCAAAACAUUUCCCAUGAUUCAUAAAUGAUAAAGAUGAAAGGUACAAGUUCUGUUUGAGUUGGGGCAAAGAGCAACAUCAUAUAACAAAAUUCAGGCAUAGAUAAACAGGGUUGUAGAAGCUUAUUCUCUCCUCAUAAAAGAAGAAAUCUAGAUCAAGUUAAGCAAAUAGCAGGCUAGAAAAGACUAUUGAAACAAACCAUUUUAAGUCCACCAAGAGCAGUGAGGCAAAAUGGAUGACUGUCAUUUCUCCGAUAAAAGAAGCAUGAAGCACAAAAAGAUACCCAAAAAAGCAUAAGUGAUGAAUCUACUAUGCUAAAACUACAACCAAGAAGAACUCGGGCACAGUGUAAAAAGAAUUCAUCGUAUUGACAUUUAUGCGCUACAAUUCUUCAUGACAGACUGUGGCUCAAAUUCUAAGCCUAGUUCUCCAAUAGUCAUUUUCCCAUGAAAGAUAUUCAACAAUUGAGGCACAUGAUCCUGAUAUUUGGUCACGAAUGUAUCCAAGAAGUGCUUGUUAGAGUUUAUCACCAGAGAAGAUAAACAUAUUUUAUUUUCUUCAUUGAUCAAGCCCUUUGAAAGCAAAACUCUUAUAACUGAACAACGGGGGAUGAUCCUCCUCUCCAAACUAUACAUAAAAGCACUUGGAACAUGGGCAAUAGCUGAAGGCUGCCAACCCAUCUUGUUUACCAAAAAAUUGAAUACGCUGACUAAUUUGGUCUUAGAUGCAGUCAUAUAAAUGGGACACUUUCUAAAUGCCAACCUAAUGUCCUCAUCAGACCAACCCCACCUCCUCAAGACAUCCAAUUUGCACUCCAGAGUUGAUUGACCAAUUGAAGAAAAUACUUGCAUUGCAUGGACAAAUUCACAUUUUUGAGGAUUAAAACCCAUUUUGAUGACCUUCUUAACAUUUCCAUCAAACUUAUCCUGUCUUUGGAGGACAAUAGGGGGAUAACAUGAUAAAAUCAGUGCAAAAUUGGCCUCGGGCAUUCCGAGGUCUUUCAAGAAUGCAAGUUUCGGAGACACAGUCUUCUGCAAAUCAAAACAAAAUAACCGCGUUCUUUUUUUCCUCAAAACUUUAAUAACAUUUUCAUCAGAGAAAAACACACUUUUGAGGAAUUUAUAAUUGGGAAUGAGUACAUUCUCCAAGCUUUGACCCAAAAUGGCUGGGAUUGACGAGCAAACAUCAGCAAGUUCAGCGUCUGUGGCCCCAAUGGAAUUCAAGAACUCAAUUUUGGGUAAGAGAGACCUCUCGGGAUGGGCAAAAAGUAACUGUGGGCGCACCCUAACAAGUUUAGCAAUUUGGGAACCAUUGAAUCCACGAUUUUUCAAAAAUUGAAGGACUGAAUCUGGUUGUUUCGAAGAUUGAAGCUUUACUCUUUCGGCAACAGAUUUUGCAAUUUUUGGGGACAACCCACAUGAGUUUAUGAGGUAUGACACCGUAAAUGAGCAUUCUUUUGGCACUUUCCUUUUAAUUUGUUCGUCUUCAGUUGAGAAUAACUUAACGCCAAAAGGAUUAAACAACCUUGCGUUCUGAACAUUCAAACCCAAACCAGAAAACAAAUCCAAAUAAGAGGUGGCUAAAUCUUGCGCAAUAGACCUAUUAGUAUUUGAGAACACUUGUGCUAGUGAUAGCCUUCCAUUACUUCUAUAGAAUAAUCCAUACAUCUUCGAAAACGAAAACUUACAGAUAAUACUAAUGUAAUUGAAUUUCGUUCAGUUGAAAGAAUUCACUCACCAGCUCGUGCUCCUUACUGAAAAGGGGAAGAACAAGAACGCCUCAGCUGAUUCGUUUUAUGGUGCAUCGGGGAUUCACGAAAAAGGUCGUCGUGUUUAUCUUCACACUUCAGACCACCAAAACGACGGCAGUUCUGGGACCGCGCCGUGUUCCAAAGUAAGCGGUCCUUGGCGACAAAAUUUUAGGAUUUUAAACAAGGUGGGUUUGGUACUGGUUUUGUUUUGGCGUUUUCCGUUUUCCAAAAACAAAAUCGUGUAAAAUACGUUUGCUCACUGUUUUUUGUAUUUCGCGAGAAUGAAUCAUUCUCAUUUUUCAGCAUUUCGUAUUGCAUUUUUGAAUGGCGUUCUUAUAACUCAGAGAAAAGAAAUGGCUAGUUUUCUUAAAAUUACAAACAUAUUGUAUUAGAAAAGCUUUUACCCAGCAAUAGAAAAAUAAAGAAGUAAUAUAAGAUAAAGAAUAAAAUAAAAGAGUAAUAUAUUAUAAAGUGAUUUUAUUUAUUUUAAGUGUGUACAAAAUAAAGAGAUGAGAGAAACACUAUGGAUUACAAUUCUUUUUAAGAUGUAGAAUUUAUAAAUAAGUUAAGGGUUGCUAGUGGAAGAUAGUGGAGAGAUUGAGAGAUGUAUGUUAUGAAAAUCUACAUUUAUUUUAAUAAAUUCAUAACUGUUUAAUUUGAAAGAUUUUUGUAUUUCUUAAAAUUCCCAUAUUGUUCAGACAUAAAUGAUUAACAUAAGUGAUUAACUUUAGACAUAAACUAAAAGAAAAGUAAAUUUGGUCCUUACAUUAGUCACUUGUCGAAUAAAAAAAAUAAAGAUAGGUUGUGGUCCUAUAUGCAUGACUUUAGCGACAAAAAAACAUAGAGAACACUAACUUAAUGUUUUUCAACGUCUUUUAUAAAAAAUAACACUUAAAUAAUUUAUUCCUCACAUUUUCUUAGAAAAUGGUGAACCAAAUAAAUUUAAUUAAUUUUUGUACUCGUAUAGUGAAAAUGCUUAAGAGAAAAUGAUAGCAAAUACACCCUCUUAAGUUUUCUAGUUUCCAAUUGAAAAAUUUUCAUCCAAUACAUUCGCAUUGAUAAAUUGCAACAUAUUAAUUUUAUUUUUAAUAUUUUAAUAAACUCCCUUAAAUUCUCACAUUAUAACACAAUUUUUUUAAGCUCUAUUAUCUUCAUAUUUUCAGACAAACAACUAAAAAUGGUUUUAAGUUUUCGUUUUCAAAUACUAUUUUAGAGACAAGCUAUGAAAUGCAUUUUUAAAUUCGCAAAAAUAAUUAUCUUUACAUUAUAAAACAAAUACAAAAUUAUGAUUUGAAAAACAAUAUCAAACACAAACCCCAUUUAUUUCAAAAAAAAUAAUUGUUUCCUUAUCCUUUUUUAAAAUUUACUAGAACACCCUAAAUGUUAACAAUAUUUUGUGACUUGUCAAUAAUUUUUUACUUCAAAAGUAGUAUUGAAAUCAUUCAUUUUUUUAACUAUCAUAUUUAACUAUUAAAUAGAGAGCAAGUUGCUCUCUAUAGAGCUUAUUAGGUUGUUUAUAAUUAUAACAUGAGAAGAAAUUUGGUGGUUUUAAAACAUAAAAGAAUGAAAUAAAAAAAUUAUAAGAAUAAUAUUAUACAUAGUAACUAUUGGUUCAUAAAAUCAUAAAUUGAAGAACAUGCUAGGCUCUGGUUUGGGCUUUGUUAAGCCCGAAGUUUAAAUUUUAGGGAAAUUUAUCAAAAUAGAUACAAAAUUUUGGAAUUUUUUAAAUUUAACCCCUCAAGCUUUUUCCUAUUAUAACUAGCCAAAUACUAGUUUUUUUUUUAACCAAAUAGUCCUCAUCACUUUCAAAAAAUUUAUAAACAAAUGGCACUCCUACAAAAAAAUUCAGAAAAAAUCAGCACCUCAACACUCUCAACACUUUUACCAAAUUAUCAAACUUCAUCUCUCUCAAAAAAUCAUCAAAUCACAUCAAAUAAAUAUUCCAUAACUGAAGAUAUAAUCAUCAGUUGGAGAGUUUUUUAAGGUUAAUGAAUGUUCUUAAUGUAUGUUCUUACACAAUAUAAACUUUUAAUGUAUUAGGUUUAAGAUUUAGGUUCAAAAUUGAUGUGAGUUUUAUUGUAAAUGUUAUUAUUUUACAUCAUAAAAUAAAGUGAUUUCUUAAGGUACUUUAGUUUGAGUUGAGGAAAAAAAAUCAUUGAAAACAAGAAAAAUUUGAGGUAAAACAAGCCUAGAUUAUGUGGGCUAGGAAAGUUCAUGUGCAACAGGCAGUGAGACAGGUGGCUAACAUAUAUAAUCACAGUAUGUGCAAUAGCCAUGUAAAAUGUGUUUGAUAUCUUUCGGAGGCUAUAACUUAAACUAUAUGUGUCCAUUUUGAAUAUAUAAUAUAUUAUUUCGAAACUGGUGAUGAGACAAAUCAAAGCAUAUUAGAGCAACAAGCACCUGUAGCACCAAAAGACAAUCACAUUGAAACUAUCUUUUGGUCCGAUAGGUGCCUGUCGCACCAAUGUUUGCUUAUCGCACUAAAAUACAGUGACUUAGAAACUUUAUUUUAGUAUGACAUGUGUAUAUCACACUAAUAUACCUUGGUCCUUCUUAUCACAAGGUUCGAAACAAUAUAUUAUAUGCUCAAAACAAACACACAUAGCCUAAGUUAUGACUUUUGGAGAGACCCAAUAUAUUUUACAUGGUUGUCGCACAUAUUAUGAUUAUGUGCAACAGGUAGUUGUGUUUAUGUACAAUAGAAACUUGUCUCACUGCUUCUCGCACGUGAACUUUCAUGUUGCACUUAAUUUAGGCUUGUUUUACCUCAAAUUUUUAUUGUUUUCAAUGAUUUUUUUUUUUAAUUUCUCAACUCAAACUAAGUACAUCAAGAAAUCACAUUGUUUUAUGAUAAAAGAUAACAAUAUUUACAACAAAAUGCACAUCAAUUUCGAACUAAAUCCUAAACUUAAUACAUUAAAAGUUUCUUUUGAGUAAGAACAUACAUUAAUCCUAAGAAGCUAUGCAAUUGAUGAUUAUAUCUUCAAUUACAUAACACUUGUUUGAUGUGGUUUGGUUAUUUGUUGAGAGUAAUGGGAUUUAAUGAUUUGUUGGGAGAAUUGAGAGUGUUGAGGUUCCGAUUUUUCUGGAUUUUUCAUAGGGGCACCAUUUGUUGGUAAAGUUAUUGAAAGUAAUGAGGACUAUUUGGUUAAAAAAAAAACUAGCAUUUGGCUAGUUAUGAUAAAAAAAAUUUUGAGGGGUCAAAUUUAAAAAAUCCUAAACUUUUUAUAGCUAUUUUCAUUGAUUUCUCAAAUUUACAUCCUUCGGGUGCUUUCAUUAGAAUGCACAGUUACUUAGUUGUUACUAAAUGGAAAAUAUAAGAAAAAGAAAAAAAGAAAAAUAGUUGCAACAUUCUUGUGGUUUGGCAAAAUAGUUAUGAAGGGAUUGGAAUCCACUACUCAGCUAAAUUGUAUUCAAUUCUUCAUAAUCUUUUGUCAAAUGUGCAUGUAUAUAUAAUUAUAUAUGGUUAAGAUUUAAUUAGUUUUAUAUUAUUAUGCAAUAACUAUCAAUUGUUUUUUUCUAGAAGGUUAGCAACAUUGAAUCAAAUAUGUUAUAAAGAUCUUCUUGUUUUCAAAAAUAGUUAUAUAGAUUUUGUUUUUAUUAAGUCAGGAUAAAAUACAAUUAGAUCAUGAAAGUUAAAGAAUAUAAUUAUCCUACAAAAAAGAUUAUGUGACCAUCUUUUAAAUAAAAAUAUUUCCUUAUAUUUUUUCCAGAUCAAAUGAAGAUUUUGAUACCUAUUUAUGAAUAAAAAUGAAAGAAAAAUAUAUCUAAAAAGCAGACAAGGGACCUAUCAUCAUUUGUGAAUAAACCAUUGUAUUAUUCAUGUGAGACCAUUGUGUUAUGCGUGCGAGAAUCUGAAUAUGCAUAAAAAUGAUUCAUUGCCUUGCUACUUGCUGGAUGCAUAGAAUAAAAUACACCAUUCAUUUUUCAUUUAUAGGAACUACUUGCUAUUAAGAUCGUUUAUAAGAUCUACUUGCUGUUAAGAUAAUAUUGUCAUAAAUUUGAGAUGGUAUCAUCUAAUUGAAAUAGUAAAACCUCUUGAAUUGAAAAUAAGAGUUUUAAUGUUUGAUGUCUGUUCACAUGAAUGGAGAAGAGGCUGAGUUAUCAUUAGACUAAGGACUAGUUUGGUAUUGUGGUCGUUGAUUAAAUAAGAUACUCUUACUGUCUGGAUAUAAUAAGUUGUUGAUUAAAAAAGUAGUAUAGUAUUUGAUAAACUUUAUUGUUGUAGUUUUUGUGAGUUUGAGUUUAAAAAGCAAUGUACAUGCGUUCAGUAAAUUUGAUUACAAACGUAUUGUUUUAUUAUAUAAUGACCAAAAUAGAUAUAAGUUUAAAUUACCUUUUAUUUUUCUGGAGUAUAUUUGAUAAUGUUUAGACAUAUCUUUUUCUUUUAAAACACAUAAAUUACAUAAAGAAAAAAAUCUCAAUUAAAUAAAAUCCAAUGAACUUGUUGGAUCAAAAUUUUGAUACUAAAGAGAAUGCACAAUAGUUUUAUAAUUUGUUGUGGUGAUAAUAUGAUAUUAUGCCUUAUAUAUCAGAGUGUAUGAAAAAAUAAGAUAUAGUUAUUCUUUUAAAUUUUAAGGUUAUAAUAGGAAAUUUAAAAAAGUGUGGUAGCUUAUAUAAUAAAGUGAUUAUGAAAGACAACCCGUACCUGCUUUUAAAAGCCACUUUCAAGAUGGAGAAAUUGUGAAAUAAGUAGUUUUUACAAAAUUUAUCAAAUAAUAUUUUUUGCCACCAUUAUGAAAUAAGCAAGUACUGAAUUUCAACCUCAAUCUCAAACGAGACCUAAAAAUAAUAUAUAUCACAUAUUUAAAUUAUUUUUAAAAAAUUAAAUUAUGAUUUCACCUGAGAAAUAUCUUCACAGGCAAUAUGUCAAACAAGUAAUAUAUUAAAAUAAAAAAGAUAAGAGAACAAAACUCAAUGACAUGACACAAGUACUACAUGAUGGAUGCAAUUUUCGGAUUUUCAACAUGCUGAAAUAGCUCCAUUAAUUUUAACAUUAUGAACAUCAACAUGAUUGCAAUGAAAAACUCCAUAAAUUGUGAAGUCACACUUAUUCUUUUACUAAUUAUAAAUGUUCAAUCCAUUGCGUUUCUAGUAAAAAAAAGAACAAAAAUGCCAAAUUUUUUAUUUUUUAUUAUCAUGAAAAAAAUGCAAUGAGCUCUUUCGUGCUAUCAUAUAUAUAAAUGUACGCAACAAGAGAAGGGAAUAUGAAAGAUUAAUCGAAGUAAAAGGAAGAAAUGGAAGGUGAGAACGCAAAAGCUUUGGGGGUACCGGAUACUUCGGCAAAUAUAUGGUGAAAGCAAGUGUAUUUUCUGGUCACAAAGCUUAUGCUUAUGCUCGAUCGGUUAAAAAAAAAAUUUCAAGUCCCUCCAAGCUUGAAAUCUAUAAGGAAUUUCAGGAUAUUGGUGUCGCAAUUGUUGAGGUAACUUCAUCACUCAAUCAUCUCGAUCUCCUUUUGUUUUCUUGAUCUUUUUUUUUUCUUUUUUAAGUGCGCGUGGAAUGAUCUCUUAUACUUCUUUUUAUGAGAUUAAUUUUGUGCUGAUCUAAUUAGAAUCUUCAAUAUUAUUUGUAAGUUUAAGUAUUAACAAUAAUACUGUUGAAAUUAAAACAGGGGGAGCUAGACGAGCACGAGAAAAAAAUUGUAUCUAUAUUUAAGGAAGUAGAUGUGGUGAUAUCUACUGUAGCUUAUCCUCAGUUUCGUGAUCAACUGAAAAUUGAUGAUGCCAUCAAAGUUGCUGGCAACAUCAGGUACUUGAUUGAGCUCUUUCUUUCUAAAAAAUAAAAUAGAUCGCUUGUUUUUUUUUUUUUUUCAGAAAUUUAAAUAUAGUUUGUCUAGUAAAUGGAAAAUAUUAUGAACUUUUAAAUGUGAAUGUCCACACUUUCUAAAUGUAGAUUUAAGCUAAGUAAUUGUAGUUAUCUAAAAAAGACGUUAAAAUAUAUACAAGGGCUAGUAAAUUAGCAAAAUACCUUAAAUCACAAACCCUAAUUUAGUAUUUGCGUCUUUGUAACAUUUUAGUGUCUUUUUACAAUUCAGUGCUGAAUUACUUCAAAUUUGUUUAUAUAGAAAAGAUCUUAAACAUACUAUGUUUUGGCUGCUGGAGGUUUCUUCCAUCUGAGUUUGGAUGUGAAGAGACAGGGUAAGGCCUCUGCCUCCUUUUGAAGCUUACGUGGAGGAAAAAACGAAUGGUAAGAAGGGCAGUAGAACUGUAGAAGCAGCUAAAAUUCCCUAUAACCUUUGUCUUAGCACAUCUCUAUGGUGCUUACUUUGUGAAUGUCUUGCUUCGUCAAUCCGAAUCACAAGAUGAAGUAGUUGUUUAUGGAAGUGGUGCAACAAAAGGUAUUUUAUUCUCCAAGAUUGAAUUCCACAUAUUAUAAAAUGCAAUUUAGACCAAAACUGAUAGCCUUUAAUAAUAAAUUUUCAUUGUCUAGGGUUUUGGCUAAAGAAUAAUCAAAGGAAAUUAUAGACCAAUCAUGUCCAAGAGGGGUAAUAUUCCUUAAUUCUGACCAUCUAAGUACAAAUUAGAUUAAGAAAUUUAACUGACUAUAAAAUAAUUGGUUGGCUAAAAAAACAAAGUCUUGGUAUAGAUUUUCUACUAUUUUUUUUUCUUUUACAAUGUUUAUGCUGCCACCAAGGAAGGAAGAAAUAUGGUGGAUUUUUAUUGAUUAUCCUGGUAGGAUAUGAUUAAAUAAUUGUUUCAGUAGUUGUUUUUGUUUUUGGGUUUUUUGGUGAUCCAAUAGUAGAAUAUGAUAUUUAUUUGGUAAUUUAAUAUUCUGUCCAAUUAACUCUUUAUCUUCACUUUCUAAUGUAAUCAUUUUUUGUUUACAUUUUUCAUUUACACUGCCUAGAUGAUGUCUAGUAUCAUUAAGUUUUCUAACUGUGUGUGUCAUAAUUUCACAAUGGAUGCAAAACUGUAUAGAUCAUGAUGAUAAUGAUGAUGCACUGUCUAAAGAAUUAUUUAAUUAUAUGUUUGAUGAUGUUGAUGCACUGUUAAAAGGUUAAUUAAAUAUCUAACAUUGUAUUUGGUCCUAUCUUUUGUCUAGCAAAUUCUAUUUCUUCAUGAAAUAUAUAAAAACCUCCAUAGUAUGGAUCAGGAUAAUUGAUUGUUAGAUCAACUAUCUCUCUCGACUGACUAUAAAUGCCUAGUUGUCUACCUCAGACUAAUACGAAAAAUGCAAAACGAUUAGUUUCUACAUGCUUAUUAAUCUGUCUAAAGUAAUGCAAGAGUGCAUUGGCUACUUUAAAUUUAUCUUUUAGGUUAUUACAAUUCUACGAAUUAUCUAAGAUGGAUUGUUGAUUGCCCAAUAAUUGAUAUUUACUUCUAAACCUUAAAUUUGUUCAUGAAGGGAACUCUCUAAGUGCUAUUGGACCAAAAUUCAUAUAUCACUCCAUUCCUAUAAAAUAAUUAUUGAAUAAUUAGUCUUGAAAGAAUAUCAGCUAAAAUAUUAUAUUUUCCUACUAUAUGUUCAAAUUUUGCUUUAUAUUCUCUACCUAUUAUUUCUUCUAAGAAAUAUAUCCAUCUUUUACUAAUAAAAGAAUUUUUCUUCUAAAAAAUCGUUCUUUUGUACUUUUUUAUAAAAUUUUAUAAUAUUAUUAUAAUAUGUUCUUAUUGUAAAUAUAUUAUUUUGUAGAUACAAAUGUAACGAGAUUAAAAAAUUUAUUAUUCUUAGAAUUUUUAAUUAUGUACUUGACUUUGUACUUUCUAUUUCUAUAAAAUUUUCACUACUAUACAUUGUUAUUUCUUCUUUCUCUUUUGAGCUAUCUUUAUUGGGCUUUUGUAUUAGUAUUCCUGUCCAUUCUAAACUGCUUGCAUCAGAUUGUAUAAUUUUAUAAUAAUUGUCUAUAGAUAAUGCUAAUGGCUUAAGAUUCCUAACUAUUCCUUUAAGAGUUUGUACUAAUUUUAUAUCUUCACUGUUAAAAUAUUUCUCUCCAUUUUUACUUAACUUAUUAUAUAAAGGUCUUGUUAGUGUACUAAGGUUCGAUAUAAAUUUCUGACUAUAAUUUAAUAAUCCUAAGAAUUUUUAUAGUUCUUCAGUAUCUUCUAUUUUAGCAUAAAAUUCUAACAUUUUACUAAAUAUAUGUGGAUGUAAUUCUAUAGUUCCUCUGUCAAUUGUUAGUCCUAAAAAAUCUAUUUUUUUGUUUUACUAAUUCAAUUUUCUUUUUAGAAAUUACUAUAUAAAAUUUUAUGUGAGUGAGUUACGUGCAUGAACUUAUUAUGACUAAAAACAAAUAAUCUAUAUAAACUAUACAAAAUUAUGAAAAAUGUUUUAAUUUUUUAUCCGUUCUUGCUUGAAAAAUUUGAGCUGAAUUUUUUAAUCCAAAAGGCAUUACUAACCAUUCAAAAUGUCCUUGUGAAUAUUUAGCACUUGUAUACAGUUUACUAUCUCAUCUUUAUUAGGUAUCUUAUAACUAUUGUCUAAAGUAUAAUCAUUUCUUGCUUGAAAAAUUUGAGCUGAAUUUUUUAAUCCAAAAGGCAUUACUAACCAUUCAAAAUGUCAUUGUGAAUAUUUAGCACUUGUAUACAGUUUACUAUCUCAUCUUUAUUAGGUAUCUUAUAACUAUUGUCUAAAGUAUAAUCAUUUCUUGCUUGAAAAAUUUGAGCUGAAUUUUUUAAUCCAAAAGGCAUUACUAACCAUUCAAAAUGUCCUUGUGAAUAUUUAGCACUUGUAUACAGUUUACUAUCUCAUCUUUAUUAGGUAUCUUAUAACUAUUGUCUAAAGUAUAAUCAUUUAAUCUUUUAUAAUUAAUUACCAUUCUACUCUUACCUCUUUUUUGUUAUAAUUAUUUACAAUAAAUGUUGUACUUCUAUGUCUACUUGUACUAUUCUCAUUACUUUUAAUUCUAAUAAUUCAUUUAUGUGCAUUUUAAAUUCAUUUCUAUCUUCUAAGCUAUAAGCUAAAUCCUGUGUUUUUAUUGUUAUAUUCGGAUUAUUAAAAUCUCUAAUUUAUAUAGUUCUUUUUAUAUUUCUAAUUAGAUUCUUGCCUAUUAUUUCUAAUUUUUCUAACUCUUCUACUUUUUUUUCUAAGGUCUGCAAGCCAUUUUUCACAUUCUAAACAUUCUAAUUCUUUUUCUAUACUCAUAACAUCUUCUAAAUCGUUGUCUAUCUCUUCAUCAUAUAACAUUUCUACUUUAGUACUUUCUAACUUAUUAUUCAUGUGCAUAUGUCACUUUCUAAUUCUAACUUACUAUCGUCUGCUAGCUCUUUAGUACUUUCUACUUUGCUAUCUUUUUAUUCUUCUAAUAAAAAAUCAAAGAAUUCUAUGUCUACUUCUUUUCCUAGCAUUAAAGUCUUCUUUUUCAUAUGACAAAAUGUGUGUUUCAUAUUUGGGUUGAAUAAAUUUUGAUUUUUUAAAGAAAUUAACUCCAUUUUGAGUUAUUUAUAUAUUACCAUUAUUUCCUAAUAUAAAGUUUAAUCCUAAAAUAAAUUUAUAUCCUACUUUCUGAUUAGAAAUAAAUGUUUGUGGUAAAAUGUGUGUUUCUCCAUUUAUUCUAAUAGGUACAUUAUUUAUACAUUCUGUUAUUUGCAUUAAUUCACCAUUAAACUGUCUAAUAUUUACUGGAUUUCUUAACUUAUUUCUAUUUUCUUUAGGUACUAAACUAUCAUGUAUAAUACAUUUAUUUGCUCUCGUGUCUAUCAUUGCUUUAGUGUAAAUUGUUUCUUUUUUAAAUAAUAAUUCUACAUCUAUUUUAUUAAUUCACUUCCUACUCUAUUUGUUUCUAUUGCUUUUUUAUCUUGGUAUUUAUCUUUGCAACUAUUACAAAAGAAUUUAUUUGUGUUUAUAUCUCUAUAUCCUAAUUCAAAAUUUUUAUUACAAUUUGUAGAAUUUAUACCAAAGAAUGAUGUAUAAGUUUCUAGGACAUUAAUUUCUAACAAUAAUAGAAUUAGAUUUAGAAAUUAAUGUAUUAUACAUGAUAGUUUAGCACCUAAAGAAAAUAGAAAUAAGUUAAGAAAUUCAGUAAAUAUUAGACAGUUUAAAUUAAUGCAAAUAAUAGAAUGUAUAGCUAAUAUACCUAUUAGAAUAAAUGGAGAAACACACAUUUUACCACAAACUUUUAUUUCUAAUCAAAAAGUAAGAUAUACAUUUAUUAAUGGAUUAAACUUUAUAUCAGGAAAUAAUAGCAGUAUAUUAAUAACUCCAAAUGCAUUUAAUUUCUUAAAAAAAUCAACAUUUACUCAACCCAAAUAUGAAACACACUUUUUGUCAUAUAAAAAGAAGACUUUAAUGCUAGAAAAAGAAGUAGAUACAAAAUUCUUUAAUUUUUUUUUUAUAAGAAGAAGAAAAAGAUAGCAAAGUAGAACAUACUAAAGAGCUAAUAGACAAGAGUAAGAUAGAAUUAGAAAGUGACACAUGCACGUGUAUAAUAAGUUAGAAAGUACUGAAGUAGAAAUUUUAGACGAUGAAGAGAUAGACAAGUAUUUAGAAAAUGUUAUGAGUAUAGAAAAAGAAGUAAAAUAUUUAAAAUGUGAAAAAUGGGCUGUAGACAUAAUAAAAAAAAGUAGAAGAGUAAGAAAAAUUAAAAAUAAUAGGUAACAACACAAUUAGAAAAGAUAAUAAAGAAGUAUAUAAAUUCUAAAUUAUUAAUCCAAAUAUAACAAUAAAAACACAUAAUUUAGCUUAUAGCUAAAAGAUACAAAAUGAAUUUAAAAUGCAUAUAAAUGAGUUAUUAGAAAUAAUAGUAAUAAGAAAUAAUACAAGUAGACAUAGAAGUUCAAUAUUUAUUGUAAAUAAUCAUAGUGAACAAAAAAGAGGUAAGAAUAGAAUGGUAAUUAAUUAUAAAAGAUUAAACGACAAUACUUUAGACAAUAGUUAUAAAGUACCUAAUAAAGAUGAGCUAGUAAAUUGUGUACAAAAUACUAGAUAUUUUUCUAAAUUUGAUUGUAAAAGUGGUUUUUGGCAAAUAUGACUCCAUGAAGAAUCUGUUCAAUGGACAACUUUUAGUUGUUCUAAAUGACACUUUGAACGGUUAGUAAUGUUGUUUGGAUUAAAAAAUGCACCACAAGUUUUUUAAGGUAGAAAAGAUAAAAUACUGAAACCCUUUACAAAAUUUUGCAUAGUUUAUAUGAAUGAUAUUCUUGUUUUUAGUCAUAACAAGUUCUUGCACAUAACUCACCUACAUAAAAAUUUAGAUUGUUUUAAGAAUAAUAAUAUAGUAAUUUCUAAAAAGAAAAUUGAAUUAUUAAAACAAAAAAAAAUUGGACUAACAAUAGAUAGAGGAACUAUAGAAUUACAACCACAUAUAGUUAGCAAAAUAUUAGAAUUUCCUAAUAAAAUAGAAGAUAUUACAGAACUACAAAAAUUCUUAGGAUUAUUAAAUUGUAGUAGGAAAUUUAUACCAAAUCUUAAUACAUUAAUAAAACCUUUAUAUAAUAAGUUAAGUAAAAAUGGAUAGAAAUGUUUUACCAGAGAAGAUACAAAAUUAAUACAAAAACUUAAAAGGAAUAGUUAGGAAUCUUAAGCUAUUAGCAUUGCCUAUAAACAAUAAUUAUAAAAUUAUAUAAACUAAUGCAAGUAGUUUAGGAUGGACAAGAAUACUAAUAUAAAAGCCCAAUGAAGAUAGGUCAAAAGAGAAAGAAGAAAUAACAACGUAUACUAGUAGAAAAUUUACAGAAAUAGAAAGUAGAAAGUCAGGUACAAAAUUAGAGAAUCUGUGAAUAAUAAAUUCUUUAAACUCAUUUCAUUUGUAUAUACAGAGUGACACAUUUACAGUAAGAACAGAUUGUAAUAAAAUUAUAGAAUUUUAUAAAAAAGUACAAAAGAAGAAUUUUGAGAAGAAAAUUUGUUUUAUUAGUAAAAGAUGGAUAUAUUUCUUAGAAGUAAUAAUAGGUAGAGGAUAUAAAGAAAAAUUUGAACAUAUUGUAUGAAAAAAUAAUACUUUAGUGGAUAUCCAUGUUGUUCAACAAUUGUAACAGAUUCUUUUGUGUUGCACAUACUUCGGCCACUGAAGGUUUUGUACACUCUCCUUUUGUUUUGUUCACGAAAUCACUCAGUUUCUCGUGCUUUGGACAAUCGUUUCCUGACGUGGUCCAUUGCAAAUGAGGUACACCAAGUUCUUCUAUUCUUGUAGAUUUCGUGGCUUGACUUUGUUUUGGUUGCCAUUCUUCUUCCCACCAUCAUGCUAAGAAUUUUCUUUCUUGCAAUCUUUUGAUUUCUUAAAUUCAGAAGGAGAAGUGUUCAUGAAUCUAAAAUCCACUAAACUAUCAAUAGCUAUAAUUGCCAUCGACAAGUCCCUCAUAGCUUGCUUCCAUAAUUUUGAUUGAGGCCAUGGUUGCAGUCUCAAUAUAAAAUUGAAGAGUUUGUCCUCAUCUGACAUGCUCUUGAUGUCCAAUAUCAAUUAAAUAAAAUCUUUGGCAUGCUUCAGCUCUUUAACGAUUUUUGUCUUCAUCCAGCCAGGAUUUCCUAUUAGAACUGACCCUUCGAUUCUUGGAUUAAUGUAUCCUAUGUUUCAAUUAUCGAUCACUAUGUGCUUCGACAUCCUCUUAAAGCCUACUCUGCUACCACAACUUAGCAUCACCUUCUAAGUGCAUGCUCGUGAUAGUGACAUGCUCCAUCUCUGAUACUCGAGCAGCUAGAAAGCAUUAAUCCACAUCUCACAGAAAAUUCUCCAAUUCCCUAGUAUUUUGAGUUCUACUAUAAGUCUUAGGUUCUGAAACCUUGACCUUCAAAGGCCCAUCUUUAGAAUCUAAAGCAUUGCCUACUGUGCGUUUCAGUAACCCAACUUUCUCUUCAAGUUCUAUAAUAUUGAUUUUCAGCACCUGCGCUUAUGAACAACAUUUUUCAUCACCUUGUUAAGCGUCUUCAUGAAAUCAUUUCCAAACUCCUUGCAAGUUUUUUGCAUACUUGCCAUCUUAAUUGAGUUGAUUUUUGUGUCCUUAGCCAAACUCUACAAGUAAGGCUACAAAGUGCCCAUAAUAGCGUCCAAUCAUCUAACUCAUCCUUUAUUAAUUCUCCUGCCAUGCUGGUUUUAGUCGCUAGUCACACAAUUCAUGUACCAUUGUUAAUUUCCCAAUAAAUUACAAAAUCUAGCUCAUGCAUCGUAGCUUCCCUAAAAUCACACAAUCAAUUAUCCUCGAACUGAUUUUAAUCGAGCCUUGAAAUCAUUUGUCACCAACAUUGAUGCAACCCUGCUUCGCAAUUGUUGCUUUGAUACCAAAUUGUUCUACCAACUGGAACAACCUAUGCUCUGAUAUUAGGUGUCCAAACAACUAAUGCAAUCUUUACUCUAACACUAAUUGUUCUAACAACUGAAGUAACAUUUGCUUUGAUACUAGUUGUCACUUGGUUUUUUUUGAAGACAUGACAACUUGUGUGAUGGUGCUAAGCCCCCACUUAGCCAAUCACUCAACAACGUUAAUGAAAGCAACCCAAAAGGCCCGUAAUAGAGGUUAUCACAAGAGAUAAGCCAAACCAACAAUAAAAAAAAGAAUAAAAAUAACAAGAACACACAAUAUUGCUUUUUAUGGAGGCACUGAUCCCUAACUUUUCAAUUCCUAUAAUAAGGAAAAUUAUGAAAUAGCUCUAAGCUUUGUGUGCUUAGGGACCACUCAUUUUACUAAAAUUUAGAUCUCCCAAAACACAGACGCACUCUCACUAUAUAUACAUGUUACAUAUGACACCACUUUUUGUCAAGGCGAGGUGGCUUGCUGUCCUUAUGCCACCUCAUUUCCUCCCCCCCAGACUAGGCACUAUUAAGCAUGAUUCUAGGAUUCACAUCUCUAUUCCUUUAAAGAUUAGGCAACCGCUGCCCACUACACUAGAAGCAAGGAAAUAAUGAGUAAUCGCCACUUUCUACUUCUCUUGUCUAUAUGUUUUUAGGCAUGAAUUUGAAGGCCACGUCUUUUGUUCGUUGCACCAAAAAUCUCACUCAUCUUUGUUUCUAAGACUCAUUCUUGGAAAUUUUCUAGCCAACAUGCUCAGCGUUCGACUACUAUUGCCCAAAUAUAGACCACAUGUAUAAUCCAAAUGUCUCUCAUAUUUAUAUAGUUUGACUCCCAUGUAUAUAUCUAUAUGUUGCACGUUGCGCAUUUACGUACUGCCUUGGACGCUUUUGCACCUGCUACCAACCAACGUAUGCGUUGCCUAUUUAGCCUGAGUACAACUGCAUUGCGCCAUCUUGUAUUCUGCCCAGUUCAGCCUAUAGGUGUGCUCUAUACAUCCCAUGCCUAUACAUUUAUAUAGAUGGUAGCACACAUCUUUGCGAGCACUGUCUCCCACUCCUCGCACUUGUCUUGGAGCAUGUGCUUGAUGUUGCGCCCUAGUUCGCAGUCCAGUCUAGUGUUACUUUUGUUCACGCCUACAAGUAUGCCCAUAAUGCUGCCAGCGGCUUGGCACAAGGCCACAAGCUAAGUCUUGGCAUAAGCCGUAAUGAUUUAUAGCGGUGACAAACCUCUUUAACCAGAAAACUUGAUGUCCUCGUCGAUAAGGUAAUAAGUCUACCAUAACCUCUCCCUCAUAUUGCCAUAGUAAAGCUUACAUUUCCUUCUCUUUGACAAACAUCCCUAUGUCAACAUUUGGCUCACUAUGCACCCGAUUUGCCAUUGUUAAUUCCCUUUAAUGUUCUGCAUAUAUGGAACUAUUUACUACCUAUUAAAUGAUUUUAGACUAAUAGUUUCUUCAUCUGUUAAUCGUAAAAGCUCCUACUUGCUUUUCUUGGAAAUUGCACAAUAAAGCUCAACUUUUGUUUCGAUUUCGCUAAGAACAUCAAAAGUUUUCAUAAAUUCUAGGGCUACAUAUAUCUUUAUCCACUUCAGGUCACCAUAUUGAACUAUCUCGCCAAAUAUUUGACGCUCACUCCACCUAAUUGCACACUAAUAAAUGAGGAACAAUGUCGUUACCUCUAAUAGGCACCAAUAAGAACCAAAUAGCCAUCAAUGAAACUUUUACUAAAUUUUUGCUUGUUGCCUUAAAAUGCUCGCCACACUUCUAUGCCCUUUUAUCGAAAUUUUAGCUUGAAUGACAUUGGUAUACCACAGUCGAUACUUUUCUGAAAGUCUUCCACAUUCUUAAGUACUUUGGUAUACCCAUCAAUUCCAUUCUUAAAUUGAAGGUGCUCCAUAACUAUGGACAUGAUCACGAAAUUCCCUCAAUUUACACCAGUUAUGGUAAAUUGGGAUGGUGGUCCCAACUUACUGAAACUUUUAAACUCACAUUUGACUGUGCACGACUCUUUCAUGCUCCUAAUCUAAAUGCAUAAUAAGCGAGAUAGUAAAUGUACCUCUGAAUUGUAUAAGAACUCCAUUCCUAAAAUUACAACAAAUAUCGUCGAUCAUAUAAUCACAAACUUAGCAUCUAGUGCCCAAGUUCCCAUACUUAGAUUGGCUACUACUGUAUCCUCUGGAACUACUUGAUUAUUAGAAGCAAAACUCAUGUCAAUGUUAGCUCUAGCAAUUUGCAGUCCAAGACGUGGUAUCAAAUUCGCCUUUACAUGUUUCACCAUUCCACCUCAUGUCUAUUAUUGCCCUUAUUUCUACUCUGUUAACUAUCAUUACUAUACAAAUCAGUCUACCUAAUUAGGAUUUACCCAUCAAGACACUUUUUAGCUUCUUUUCAUUUACGGGUACCUCCUUCACCUUGACAUUCAUGUUGUUUAAUAGUUGUAAUGGAUUUAUGCGUGUUGCGUCUAAUUUGGCAGCUGAAAGUUUCAAAGAAUCCCCUUCUGUUUCCUUAACCAAAGCAUUAAGCAUCUCAAGCUUUAGAUAAUCUUUUGCCCGAUGUGGUCAGUCGCAAAUGAAGUACCUUGAACCCUUUUUGUCUUGCAGUUCCUUUACUUGGCUUUGAUGUUGUUGCGAUUCCUCAUCCCACUAUCACACGAAGUGUUGCCUUUCUUGUUAUCUUUGGAUUUCUUAUAUUCAAAAGGAUAAGUAUUCAUGGGUCUAAAAUGCACCAAGCUAUCAGCAGCUGGAAUUGCCGUUGGUAAGUACCUUACAGCCUACUUCUGUAAUUUCGUUUAAGCCUAUUAGUGUAUACUAUUGCCCUCACUUUAUAUUUUCUUGAUGUCCAACAUCAAUGAAAUAAACUCUUUAACGUAUUCUCUCAAUGAGCCGAUAUGCUUUAGCUUUUUCAAGCUCUUCCCUCCAAGCCAAAUACCAUUCCUGCAUAAGAGUUGACCCUUUACUUCUCCUUUAAGUGUGUCCUAUUUUUCAAUUGCCAAUCGUUGUGUGCUUCAGUAUCCUGUUAAAGCCUACCCCAUUGCCACAACUUAGUAUCACCCUCUAAGUAUAUGCUUGUGAUAGUGACAUGCUUUGUCUAUGGUACUCGAAUAGCUAGAAAGUGAUGCUGUACGUCUUACUAAAAAUUCUCCAACUUCUUAGUGUUCUGAGUUCUACUAUAAGCCUUAGAUUCUAAAACCUUGACCUUUAAAGGCCCAUCGUUUGAACGUGAAGCAAUGCCUACUACCCGUUUCAGUUACUUAACUUUCUCUUUAAGGUCUCCAUUAUUUCUUUUCAGCACGUUCGCUCACAAGCAACUGAAUUAUAUUAUUUCAGUGAAGCCAAUUUAGAAUUUUAGUACUUACUAAAAUUUUUUAAAUCAUAUUGUUGUUUGAACAUAACUCCAACUAUAUUGAAUAUCUAACUACGUUGUUAUUUGACUUCGCUGUUGCCUAAAAGUUUUGUGCACAAUGAUACACGGCCAAUAUUUAGUUGGUAUUAAGAAUAGUAGAUUUAUGUACAAUAUCUUUAGUAACAUGCCAAUGCCAUGCUCAUUUAUAUUCACAUGUAAAUUAGGUUCAUAAGAUGCGAGUUGCUGGUAACUUGCUCGGUGAAGUAUCCACUGUGGUGGUGUGUGCAAAAGUGUCAUUUAUUGUAAUUCAAUGCCACUUAUGCGCAGAUGUGCAAUCAAUAGGCACUAGAUAAUUUACAAAAGAUAAAGCCACUUGUCUUUAACCUGAUUUGGCAACGAUACCAACAUCCAAGGAGGCAAAAAGAGAAUAAUUAUUUUAUUAACAAUUAAUAGAGUAUAAAUUUGAGUAAUUAAACUUAUUUUCCAAAUACUUAAAUACAUUUAGUACUCUCAACGCUCUUGAAGGAAACAAUCUGCCGAAGGAAACAAUCUCUCGUAUCCCUACAAAUAAUAUAGAUCUCAACUGAACACUCAAGAGAACACUCUCCAAACUUUUUAAGAACUCACUUGUAAGUACUCUGUUUCUCUGCACUCUCUAUCAAAGAGUUAAAUCUUAAGCUCUCUACAUUUUGGGAUGCUUUACUCUCUCUCUCUCUCUCUCUCCUCUCUCUCUCUCCAUUAAUAGUGUAAGGAUGGUGUUGUAGAAGUGCGAGGUUGAACAAUUACCAAUAUUACAAUGACUGUAACUUUUGGAGAAAUAUAAAUGUGACAAACAAAUGUAAAGAAAAUAAAACACAAUAAUUUACGUGGUUCGGCGUAAUGCCUACGUCCACAGGCAAAGACUGAAAGAUAAUUUUACUAAUAAUGAGAAUUUACAAAAGUGGGAAAAACUCACAAAACCCACAACCCUAAUACACCCAAAUGGAAUGAUGAGCAUAUUAUAUACACAUAUUUUAUCCUUAAUUACAUAAUUACUAGUUAUUUUUAUUUUUUAUUUUUAAUUAAUUGAAUUUUUUUAUUGAUUAGGGAAUUAAUUGGAGAUUAUGGAUGAAAAGUGCAUAAGGAAUAAUAAUUGAACAGCAUUAAAGAUCAAAUCAAUUUGUGGAGGCCAUUGAUGAAAGGGAGCUUAAAAAGGAAACAAAUUAGAGUUUAUGGAAAUAAUUGCCGCUUGUGAAGAAUAAAAGAAAAGAGGAAAAAGGAUGCUUAAAGGAGAAUAAUUGGCUUUCUAAGUGUGCAUCUUCUGUGAAUAGUUGGAAAAGCAUUGACCAUUGAUUUCAAGUGGGCUUCACAUACAUGGGCUUAAAGUUGGUUGUGCUUGGCUUGUUUUAAAAUCCUUUUGAUUUGAGAAUUUUGUGGUGGCGUUACAGUAUAAAAAGAAUUAAGGGGUAGCCGCCAGGAAAAAAAAGAGAACACGGAAAGUAGCCGCCAGAGGAAGGAAAAAAAAAGCAUACGCGAUUUGGGAGAAAACCGGCUGCAGCAGUUCGGCUCCCCAUAGCUGAUUUUAUUUCUUUUGUUGCUCCUAAUUCAAGUAUUUCUAGCUAAUUUUCUUAUACUGAGGUUAAGGAUGAAAUUCUAUUCAAUAAAAUAAUUAUUUUUUUCAUUUAAUUAAUUCCCUAUAUAUGUUUUUUUAUGAUUAUGAUUUUUGUUUCACAUGAUUAAUUGGGUGUUGUUAAAUCUUUUCACCAAUUCUGUCAUGCAUUAUUGGUUGUUAGGAUUGAUAUUCGAUUAAAUCUAUACUUGGAUCUAUAAAAUUUAUACAUGAUUAUAUUUGAUUUGGUGUCUUUCAUUAAAUUGUUUACACAUAGUGUUUAGGAAAACUUUGACUCUUUAUUAUUUAAUAUGUUUACAUGAGAUUCUUAGAUAUCAUUAACUAUGGCCAAUGGGUUGUGCUGGCAAUUGUCGGCCCACAAGGGCUCAUGGACCGGCACGGCACGACCCACCAAAUUGGUGGGCCGUGCCGUGCCCACCUUUUUUUCAGUUGAGCCCAGCAUAGUCCACAGCACGAACAGGUUUGUGCCGUGCUCGUAACGUGCUGUGGGCUGUGCCCAAAAAAAACCCACCAACUUUUUUUUUUGGCGUGCCUAAAAAAGCCGACGUGCCUGGCGUGUUUUUUUAAGCCCACCAACAUAGUAAUAGUAAUAAUAAUAUUCAUAAUCAUAAUCAUAUUAAUUUUUAUUAAAAGGAAAUUAACAUUUUAUUAUUAGUUUAUCACGAUUUCACAACUAUAUAUUUUAUUUCACAAUAAUCAAUCAUAACACAACAAUACAUAAAUUUAAUUUAAUUUAAUUCCAUAGAUAAUAAUAAUAAUUAAUUAAAAUUAAAAAUACAAUCCUCGAAUAAUAAUUACAAUAAGUCAUAACUACGAAAUAUCAAUAUAACAAAUCAUAGGUCACAACUUACAAGUUACAACUACGAAAUGCGAACUACGACCAAUUGACGAAUAACAAGCACGAAAAAAACAUUUAUUAAUCACAACUAUGUAUGCGGGAAACGAGCAAGUUUAAUUCUAUCUCGGCUAAGGUGGCGAGCUAAACAAUUUGACACGUGCCGACGUAAACCCAAGGUGCCAUGGCUGUCUGAAUAAAUAACUUCUCGAUGACAAUAGUUGCACCUCAAGAUCAUCCGUUUGUAAGGACGAUACAAACUAUUAUCUAUUAUUUCCUCCCUUAUUGUAGUAAAAUUUUGAAAAAAACUCAUUUAAAGAAUGACUUCUGGACUGAUUUAUCCUAGCGUUUUGUUGAGGUCCAACUACAUCAACACUGUAUUCUUGAGGGUGUUGAGGUUUUUCUGCAUUCAUUUUAUGUUGCAGCGGAUUCAUAAUGAUUUUGGUUUUUAGAAUAUUAGAAAGUUUGAGAGGAAAAAGAAGAAGAAUAAGAAUUGUGAAGCAUCAUAGCAUAAUGGCGUGUAUGUAUGAUAUUAGAUAGUAAUAAAAAGACAAAAAUUAAUUUUAUUUACUUUGUCGGUGGGAGUAAAAAGAGUAAGUAAAAAAAAAUUAGUGAAAUAAAAAUAUUUAUGAAUGAAUGAAUCUUGAGAUCUUAAUUUUUGUGGAGCCGUGAGGCUUGGUUGGCAUGUAGGAAAAAGAUCUUAAAUUAUUUAAAAAAAUAAAUGAAAAUAUUAAAACACAUGCACAAUUAUCCCAAUUUUUUAUUAUUUAAACUUUCAUAAUUUUUCAAAUUUUUAAUUGAUUACUGUUGUGCAAAUUUUAUUCAACUCGCAAGCGCACGAAUCUAUUGUAGAAUAGACUAAUGGUGACGAGUAUCGAUCCCACGAGGAGGUGGAUUUUAAUUAUAUGUAGAGUUAAUUUUGUAUGAGGUGGUUGGAUUUGUAGUGGAAAUGAUUCAAAUUAUCCUAAAAAUAGGAAUUAAAAUGGCGAGAAAAAUUAAAGUGAAAAUCUAUUAAAUUGACGUACUUGGGUAUCUGGAUCCGUAUCAACAUGCAUCAUGAGCUAAAUAUUCCUUAUUAAUACCAAUUAAAUCAUGAGAGGGGAAUCCAUACCUCAUGAACCACGCUCUAAUCAAUAUGAUGCUAAGGGCUUAUCGUGGCAAAUAAUAAUAACCUUAUACUAGGGAGCCGGUGAAACCAAGGCGGUACUAGACAAGAUUAUUAUUAUUUGUCAACGAAAAGUCAAAACAUCCACAAAAACUAGAGGGGAAGAGAAAAUAAAUUUACCAAAUAAAGCCCAUGACACAUGUUGAGACUUCACCUUCUACCCAAACUUAAAAGGAAAUUAGCCACUCAUAAUUGAACUAGGGGUAAAAUGGAAAUUUAUUAAAAUAUGUAGAAAAUACAAGAUGGAGAAGGAAUUAUAGAAAAUGGAGUCCAAAAAUGGAUUCAGAAGUAUCAAAUUAAGGGGAGAGGCCCCCUUUUUAUAGAUACAUUAAGUAAAUCGUGGCCAUCGGAUUAAAAACAGUUUGGACGCUCAGGAUUGCGCCACGUCAUCAGUCAACAGUAUGCGGUUUGACCACGUGGAUGAACAGUAACACGGUUUGACCGGGGUUGAACAAUGACGCGGUUUGGUUGCAAAUAAUCCUGUGUAAUGCAUGUACCGUACGCGAGAUUUUUAGUCCACUGAUAUGCUACCACGUCAUCGAUCAACAAUGCAUAAGAAUUUUAGUCCAACAAGAUCGUGACACCUCAUCAGUCAAUGCCACAUCAUUAGUCAAUGCCACAUCAUCGAUCCGUCUAUGUGAACAGUGUCGUGAACAGUAACGUAGACAGUACCGUACAUGUGAACAGUGUCAUUUUUCCUUUUAUGCUCCUCCUAAGGUUUUCGAUCGUCCUGAGUUCAAAAGUGAUAUCUGUUUUGCCAUCUGAUCUCUUGUUUAUUGUGAAAUAACCAUGAUACCCCUAAAAUACAUAAAAUACUUAAUUAAAAUAAAACACACAUAAUUAAAUUACAAGAAGCUUAAAUACAUAAAAAUAAGGGUUGUUAGUAAGACGUGAAAUGUAAAAUGACGAUUUUCUCCUUAAUAAAUAUGCAUUUUAUAACACUCAACACACCCCUCAACCAGCUUAUUGCUAGUCCCUAGCAAAUAAAGCGAAAACAAAAUUCAAAUCCAAAAUAAUUUAUUUUAAACACUCUUGUUUAUUCAAUCAGACUAAUGAUAAUAAUCAAAUAAAAGUAUAAACAUUAUCUCAAGCCUAAAGAAACAUUACACCCACAUCAACCAUCCACAUGAAAUCAGCCCAGUAGACUUUGUCGUAGCUACCUUCAAGAAUGACAUGUCAAACCCCAAAAUCUCACUGGAAGUAGUGACACUCUCACAAAAAAAUUAAAAACAAUAAAAAUAGUCACUCCAAUGAAUGGUAAUUGAGAGAAAAUAAUCAAGAAGUGAUAUCACAUGCUCUCACCAAGAUGAAAGAAAUAUGCCCUCAACUUAGAAAUAAUACAAUCUCAAGUAAAAAAAAAAUACUAGUCAACUCAAUUUAUUUAUUUAUUUAUUUUCAUUCAUCACUAUAUCUUUUUAGCCCAUAUAACUAGUUUCUACUUCAGACUAUAGUUCCCUAAAAUCAAGAAGGACUUUUAUUAGGACGUAACGUAGGUUAGGGACAUGGCUAACAAAGAAGGGAAAUAAGGAAAACAAAGUGUAUGUUUGAGACAAAUGCAGAGGAAUUUUUUUUUUUGGAAGUUGCAAGGUGGAUUUCACCUAUUAUUGUUAUUUUUAUUUUUGAAAAAUAAUUAUUUUCUUCUUUUUUCUUUUAAGAAACAACAAUUUUUUUUGAACUAGGCAUAACUUCACUAUACAAAAUAUUUAUUUACAUUUUUCUCAAACAUAAACAGGUGAUGGAACUUAUAAGAUAUUGGUUAAUACUCCAAAUCAGAGUGGGUCAAGAUGAUAAGUUUGACAAAGAAUUUUUUUUAUUUUUUAUUUAUUUUUUUUAAAGGCUCAAAAGGUUAACUAUGGAUAUUUGAUAAAAAGGAUGGCUAGAAAGGCUCAAACGGAUCAAAGAUGGCAUUUUCAUCGUCUUCAGGGGCUUUAAAUAAUCUUCCAUAUUUACUACUUAGAUGGGCCUCCAUAUGUAGCAACACACAUUUUUUUAUUCUUUUUUUUUUUAAUUUUACAAUUUUUUUUUUAAGGGUUAACUCAAAAGAAAUCUAGAGAUCGUGUAUACAAUAAUAAACUGCUAAGCUAUAUAAAGAAUGGGCAAAAGGGUUACUCUUCAAGAAAAAUGAUAGGCUGAAAAACUCACUUGGUACUUAUUAUGACAUGUUCAUUCCUUCAAGCAACUCAUAUUUGUCUCCGACAUCAACAUGUAGAGUAACAAAUAUAGCGUAACAUCACUUCAGACUAAAGAUAAUACAAAUACUAAAAUUUGAAAUUCAUCAUGUCAUCCAAUGUUAAAACAAAUCACAAAUUUAUUUAUUUAUUUUUUUAAACAACAUCCUACCCCCCAACCUAUUCUAACAUGAAAGGAAAAUAUACAUGCAGAAAUGUGAAAAUGAUGCAGAAAAACUAAUUAGAAAAUGAUAGAAAAUGAAAAUGGUUUGUUUUUUUUUUUUUAACUUAAGAAGAUGUGUUUCUAGAGGCACUACGCUCCAUAUUCAGCCAUUUUCGACUCAAAAAAAUUUGAAAAUGUAUAUUUAUAAAGGAGAAAUUAAAAAGAAAAAGAAAAAUGAACAUCAAAACAUAAUAAAGAAAAAGAAAAUGUCUGAAAUUUUUUUUUAAACGAUGAAGAUGCGUUUCUAGAGUCACUACACUUCAUAUUCAACCAUCUUCAACACAAAAAGUUAGCAACAGUUAGUUUCUACAACAAAAAAUAGUAAAAACUUAACCAAGAUUCCACAAUUGUCGACUAUUCCCUCCCCCCAACCAGAAUGAAACAUUAUCCUCAAUGUUUGAAAGGAAAGAAGUAGAGUUUAGAAGACAUCAUCUGGGUAGUGCAACACAGAAGAAAAUAUUUACAAGCGGAGAGUUAAAUCUGAUUUGUACUUCUUACUACGGCUACUGUUACCGUCAUUAUUUGGAUGCUCCAACACAAAGGUCUGGGGGUCUGGCUCCGGUUUAUAAGCUUGUAACAUAUCAAGUAGCUCAUUAGCAGUGUGAGCACAAAUAAAAAGUUUUUUCGCAUUGAAAGGAAUGAAAUAGUUUUUAUUGCAUGGUUAAGAAAUGCGAUGAAGCCAUCUUAAAAAUCAUUGACAUUUAACAAACCGAUGGGUUUCUGGUGAAUGUGCAGAUGGGCCCAAGAUGCUAGUGUGAUGAGUGCCUCUAGUGUUGCAAGAUCUUCUGGAAGGAAAAUAAAAGCAUCAGCAUGAUUAAGCAUUUCAGUUAUUCGUUCUUGCAUACUUGAGACAACUAACUCUUCUCCAGUUGAUGAGUCAGACAAACUACCCAAAGGUUUUAGGACUCUUGGGAUGAUGUCUAACACUUGGCUUCCUCUGACAAAAGCAGCUUCUGAGACCAAUUUUGACAACCCUCGGUUACCUCCUCCAUACACCAAGUGUAAUUUUCUCUCUACUAUGCUUCGACCAAGAUCUAUAGUUGUAUCAACGAACUCUUUAUGUUUGCCAUAGGUAAAUCCAGAAAGCACACAAAUGUUCUUGAAUUGUCUAUUGGGAGUAGCUGCCAUUGAAAUAUUUCUCAAAAAUAAUUUGUGAGUGCUUAACAAAAAGUCAUAUUUAAGAAUCUUGGUGACUGUGGAUCACAACUGUGUAUGAGGUAGCAUGUCAAUGUCAAAUAACGCGUAAAGCACAUGGCUAGCGAGUAAAAAAGGAAACAGUAAAAAGAAAAAGAAAAAAAGAAAAAAAUUAAUGAUAAAAUAAAAUUAUUAAAGACAAUAAUGCAAAUGAUAAAACAAUAGUGAAAUAAAAUAAUAGUGAAGUAAAAGGAUAUUUACAAGUAGUUGUAACUGUGGCUCACAUCUUCCUCUGGUUUUACAUCCAGAAACUUCUUGAAUGCCCUCUAUGGGUCGAGGAUGGGCUUCCCAUCCAGUUUUCUUAUAAACUGGCAAACAAGGUCGUUUAUAGUCAGAUUCCCAAGACUAUAUCGUGUGUUUGCGGCUGAUUUUGGGUCAAUGAAUAAAAGACCACAAAACCAACCCAAGAGCAAUAAAUUUAUAUUUUUGUCGGGGAGCAGGGUACCUCGCUUGUUCGGCAUGUGCGGGCUAUUUAGUAUUUUUGUGGAGCGAAGGAGGAUUGAGAUGACGGUGGUUAUGGAGGGGAUCUGACUUUAGGUGCGGAGGGCUGGUGAAACUCGCCUUAAACCUGCGAAACAACCAAAAAAGAGGUUCGAGGUGGAGCCGGGGGUGGCCGGCGACCACACUCCGACGCUCAAGUCAGAGUUGGGUUAUCUCAGCUUAGAGAGCUUGCAAGUUCUCGGUAAUGGAGAUUUUGAGGUUGAAGAAACCCUGGUUUCUUUUUUGUGGUGAGUGUGUUUACUUACUUGAUAAAAAUUAAACCUGAGUAUUUAUAUGGUGUACCCCGGGUCACCGUGCCACCUGGCAUUAUUUUAGUGGCGUUCCCUGCUGUUAUGUCAGGAAUAUUCUUAUUUUCAUGCGUAUGGAGGCUUAGGAGUUUCAAAAAUAUGCGUGGAGAGCAAGUUUAUGGCGUAUUCACGUGCUGGGCGUAGUGGAGUGGUCCCGCGUACCUCUGCAAUUCCGUUGUAAUUUUGCAGGCGCAGCAGGAAAAGCUAGUGGUCCCAACUGUCAUAAUAUCACACUUUUGGCGGAUUCGCUGGCGUGACAGGCGGCUGUCUCCUCUUUUGCGGCACGAUAUUUCCUUAUUUUUUGACACAUAUCAAACUGAUCUUUUUGAGACUCGGGGCUCACAUAUCCCUUCACAUAUUUACGAAGACUUUUGUAUCCUUUCAUAGUGUACCCGAGGUACCCCCAGAGUGCUUAGGGUAGCCGGGAUAUCUAGGGUAUCCGAGGUACCCGAGGUACAAAAGGUACCCGAAAUAAAUUAAUCUCUUAAAUAUCGACACGUGGCGCUUCAUCAUUAGCCUCAUAUUUCCUUCCCAAACAACAUCCCCCUAGUUUCUUUGUAGCGAAUUUAAUUAAGGUGCAAGAAACUCUUGAAAGAAUUAUGUGUGACACGUGGCGAUAUUUAUACUUUUUUUUUUUUUAACUCUGAACUGAUGCCUGUCUUCACGUCUCUCCAACUUUCCUUAGAAGUGGUAACAGCCUUGACACAUUGCUUUGCUCUGACUUUUAAAUUUCAAAACCAGUCAAAUCAUUUCAACCACCUUCUGCACGUUUCAUUCUCACUUUUUUUUUUCUCUUUCAUUUUGCAAUCCCCAAAAACUCUUUCUCUUCUUCUCCAAUUUCCAACGCCUCCCCAUCUCCAUUUUUUCUUCUUUAUUUUCCUUUUUGCUUCUUGCCCUUUCGGCUUCCAUCUCCUUUCUUCCUCUUUUUUUUUUUUUUUUUUUUGGCUUGCUCUCGGCCAACCAUCACAUUUCUUUUCUCUUUUUACAUUCCCCCUUUUUCUCUUUUCUUUAGCUUUCUCCAGGCAACUUUAACUCCCUUUUUUUUUCUUCUUUCUUUUUCCCCUUUUUUUUUUCUUCCUUCUCGGCCGGCCUUGGCUCCCGUGAUUUCCAAUGGUGGCGUGACGACGGCGUUCGGCUGGUGGUGCAAUGAUCUCCUUGUGGUAAGCCAUCUUCUUCCCCCCAUUUUGCUUCUUCGUUUCGUCUAGUGGCCCUUUUUUUUUUUCUUUACAUCAUCCAAGCUCCCUUUUUUUUUUUUUAUAUCUCCACGCUUCCGUCUCUUUUUUUUUUUUAUAUAUAUAUACCUCCAAGCUUCCCUUUUUUUUUUUUUUAUCUCCAGGCUUCCCCCAUUUUUUUUUUAACGAAUUUCAUUGUGUCUAUGACAGCCUCUGCACAGCUCCAUAGUUCGAGUAAUUUUUGGCGAUCUGUGACUUCUGUUGGCAAUUUAUAGUCUAAAACUUACUUGUUGGCGACUGAAAUUUGCUACUCUCGGUGAGAUAUAGGUAUAAAAUUUUUCAUACCUAUUUUUGACUUCUUUAUUUUGAAGAAUAAUGUUGUGGCUUUGUUUUUGGAUUUGUUUUUGGUUUUCAUGCAAAGUAUUGGCAUUUUUCUUUUUUGUUUAUGCUUUUAUUGGUGGAUGUUGGUGUUUGGCUUGUGAUGGAUGAGGUCUGAAGUUGUGGGGGUAUGUUUUGAUGUGGAGAUUUUUUUUUUUUUUUUGUGUCUUGUGUUUUUAGGAGAACAAGAUGGGGAGAAAAAAUGUUGGGAAAAAGGGUCGUAAUGUGGUUAGGGAGCAGGAGGAGACGAGUGAGGAGGCUCCUCUUUCUGAUUCAGCCCCUUAUAUAUCCCUUAGUGACGACGAUGGGUCCCCUUCGGCUAGUCCCAAGUUAUCUCGAACCAAAACCAGUAAAAAAUUAAAGAUUAAAGGCAAACACCCAGCUAAGCCAGCCCAUAGAAAAACUCAUGCAAAGACAUCCAGACCCAAAUCUCUUGUUCCUAUCAGCAUUCCAGAACCUCCCCUGAUCUCUCCCUCUGUCUCUGUAGCUCCUAAGCUCUAUGCACUAGGGGUAGGCUGGCUACUCCGAGAGAUUUAGAAAGGGUUAGAGCCAAGUACAACAUACCUCAGUCUGUCCACCUUAGGGUACCUCGCAAGGGCGAGCGCUUCGAGCACCCUCAUUCUGAUGAUGUUGCCCUUCAUAUCGACCUUUUUGACUUAGGUCUCCGUUUACCCCUUCAGCCAUUUUUUAGAAAAAUGUUUACUGAGGCGAAAAUUGCUCCCGGACAUUUAUCCUUACCCGGUUGGAGAUUGCUCACGGGUCUGGAGGUUUUGUGGCUAGAUAUUUUUGGGGAGGAUAUUUCUUAUGGAGAUCUAAGGGGGCUUUAUCAGUUGAAGAAGCCCGCUGGUUUAUCUGUAGCCUAUUUUGCUACUUGGGGGGUUCAUGGUAAUUUGGUGAGACCGAAUCCCUUGCUGAAAAAGGGCUACAAAUAUGGGUGGUUUGUGGCUGAGGGUGAGUGAGGGAAGAGCAUUCCAGCGGGGAAUGAAGUUGUGCAAGUUCGGAACUUCUUCAAUGAAGAUAGUAUGUGUUUCUUUCCUCUUAUCUCCCUUUCUAUGUACAUAUACACCUCUUCACAUGAAUUUUCUUCUUAUUCAUUGCUUUUUUGAGAUUUUUGCAGACAUCACUUGGACCAAGGGAACGUGCCCAAUCCAUGAAGUGGGGAGGAAAGUGAAUGGUGUUAUAGAGAAGUUCCAGAUUUUGCAGAGUGAGGGUGAUGUUCUGUGCACUUCCCAGUUGGCGAGAGCUGGUCUGAUUAAGGAGAGUUUUCAGUCUUCUUCGGGGGGCGAUUCACAUAUGCCUAUGUGGUGUUGCUGGGGUACCCCGCCUUCAUUGGUUCUGUGGGGUGCCCCCUUUAUUUGAACAAACUUUUUUUAUGCUUUGGUGGCCAUCUCUUAUUUUUUCUCAAUGUGCCUUUUUGCCAAUGUCAACUCUGUUGUUUAUUUUCCUGAUUUGUCUCUUUAUCUCACCUCUUUUUUUGUUGGAUAGGCAUGGACCCUUUUGGCGAAGAUUUUGAUGCCUUUUUCAGUCGCAUGAGCGGCAGCUCCUCCGGUACCCUGGGUACCUCCGCAAAAGGUGACUGACCUCCCGUCGUUCUAGGCGGCAAAGGAAAAUUGCCCGUCUCCUCUCUUGGGGGUUCUCGGGGUACCCUGGCUACCCACAAGAGGAAGUUUGGCUCCCUUUUCACGGCUCAUGGAGACCUUAUGGAGGGCGAGCUGGAUCCGGUGGCUAACAAGCGGAUAUCGCACUUGACUGAUUGCUUCCUUCAUUCCUCCGAGAGUAUUUCCACAGACAUGGCAAUGGAGGCAGAUAAAUUAGAUUUAAAUGAGCGCUAUAGCCGAGCGCUCAAAGCUUGUCAUGACGUGAGUGCCUCUCACUCUUUUCUUUUCAUUCUUUCUCUCUUUUUUUUUAUCGUCCUAACUCCCUUUCCUUUUCUUUAUUAUUAUUUGUGUAGGCGGCUUUCUACCUUAGCCACGGUCUCCGAGACCUUAGUGGCAUCUCGGCUGCACAGACCGAAGUAGAGAGGCUGCGAGGUGAGGUUAGGUUCGGCCAGUCUCGGGAAGAGAAGUUAGGAGAGGAGUUCAGGGCUUUGCAAAGGCGCUUGGACGACCACGCCCGGGAGAAUAGCCGAUUGUCUGGGAAGUUGGAAGAGGCGGAGUCUAAGCACGGCGAGCUACUAUCUCGCCAACCGGAGAUGAUGGACAAGGCCUUUACUCUUAUCAUGACUGAGGUUUGGAGCGUCAAGCCUGAACUGGUGGUACCCCCGGUGGAGAAAUGGGUGGACAAGUCGGUCAUCCUUAAAGCGAUAGAGGACAAUAGGGCUACCCAGGCUCCUCCAUCUCACAGCCCACAACGAUCUUCUGGGGUACCCCAGGUACCCCAUGCGGAUCUCCCUUCGGUUAGCGCUGUUCAUGCGGGUAACCGCUCUUUGGCUGCGAGUGUUCCUAUUGAUGCCCCCGUUGAGGGGAACAGUGGAGAGGAUGUCCCCCCUUCUGCUUGAUCUUGCUUGUUAUUCAGAACUUUAUCUCGAGAUGUCUUAGCAGCUUUCUUUCUUUACUUCUGUACCUUUUGUAGUAUGGUAUUAUCCUUUUGAUGUGUUGGGAUACUUGUCUUUUGGAAGGUUGCCUCGACAAUCUUGCCUACUCGUUCGCAUUAGCUUCUGCAAUAUACUUCAUUUGGAGUGCCAUUCAAUUCCUUGCUUGUGAUUGAUUUACGUAGCCUUGCGGGGGUUCCUCAGGUGCCCCAGGUACCCCCCCUUAUGUAUUUUUGGCGCUUGCGUGUUGAUUUCCGUAGAUGUGCUCACUGCUCAUCUUAAUAAAGAUUAUGGCGUAUCUCAAAAUAAUUUAAUAAUUCGCACAUCAUCAUAAGAUAAAAUGAAAUUCAUAUUUGUCACAACUAGGAUAAAAUAAAGAUUAUGGCAUAUCUCAGAUAGACUUGUGGAGUUUCUCGGGUACCCCAGGUACCCUCUUUUUUUUUUUUGGAAUUGGAUGUUAUUAAAUAUUUUCAUCAAUUCUGUCAUGCAUUAUUGAUUGUUAUGAUUGAUAUUCGAUUAAAUCUAUGCUUGAAUCUAUAAAAUUUAUACAUGAUUAUAUUUGAUUCUGUCUUUCAUUAAAUUGUUUACACAGAGUGCUUAGGAAAACUUUGACUCUUUGUUAUUCAAUAUGUUUACAUGAGAUUCUUAGAUAUCAUACUAUUAAGUAGAAAAAGAACCUAUACAAGAUUAAUUUUAAUUGGGCUUAAUUGUUAUAUUUAUGAGAUGACAUUGAUUGAUUUCGAGUUGUCACUCUAAAAUUGGGAAUUAAUUAAUAAUUAGAUAAUUACUAGUUGAAUAGUGGUGGAUUCUGAAACCUUGGUAAUUUUUGUCUUAUUGAUUUCUCAUUUGCUUUAAUUAUUUUCUUAGUUUAAUUUCCGUUAAAAAGUCAAUUUGCUCAAUUAGGUUAGAAUUAAUAUUAAUUUUAGAUUUAAAUUAGAUUUUUCAAUUUAUAACAAUUCAUGUGGGUUCGACCUCGUUACCAUUAUUCUAUUUCUAGAUUCGUGCGCUUGCGAGUAUAUUAAAAUUUUUCACAACAUGAAACCUCACUAGAACACUCAAGUAGAAGCUCUCUCAAAUUCUCUCAAAGAGCUCACUUGUAAUUGCUCUCUACUUCUCACAAAUUGGGAUGCUUUGCAAAUGCAUUCUACUUUUCUAUUUAUAGGAAAAGCUUACAAUAUGAAUGCACGAAAAAAACUUUCGCCAUUUUCAAUUUUAAUGGCUUUGGUGUGACUUUUGGUGAAGAGAUCAUAUACAAAGGGGGCUCUAGCACUUUACUAGUAGAAUAUCAAGCAAGUAAAAGGGCUUGACAGCUUACCUUAUUAUUAAGGAAAUGAGGGAGGAGGAAUAGGCCCCCGCGGAGGGAAACGUUACUCGCCUUUGCUUAGCUUUUCAUGUAGUUCCGUCAGGGUUCUUGAGAGAUGAAGACAGAGAGAGAUCGGUUGAGUUGAUUCCCGUCCAAGGCCAGUGAUGAGGAUAUGGGACUUUGCCAGGUAUUCUUUCUCUUAAUAGCGGAAUCUAAUUAAUAGAAUUUUUGCUUCUUGUUCACUCUCCUUCCCCAAGUGUUUGAUGCUCAGUCCAUCUGCGAGGACAUUGAUCAAUGGAUGAAGCAAGAGGAGGAGCCUCUACUGAAUUCCGCUCGCCCCGGUCCCUAGUAGCGUUGACUUUGCCAACCUUUGGAUGUUGUUGUGAUGGUUAGGCUGAGUGAGUUCUCGCGAAUCAAAGAAGGAUCUAAAAGCGGCUUAGGUAGAUGAUUGGAUUCUUUUUUUUCAUAUGGAAUAGCUCAUCUCAUAAAGAGCAAGGCAGAUUGGUGGAUAAACGGUAGAUCUCUUUUCGCAAUGAAUAAAGAAGUCUAACAGUUUCUCUCGGCAUCUGACUUGAUUUUCUUUUACUUCUCGAAGUUGGAUUUACAGCCAGACUGCUACUACUACCAGGUGUGUAUCGCGGAAGGAGACGACCCAAAGAUGACUUGUGUGACAAGCAAGCAACCUUACUAAAGGGGCGUUUGAUUGUUGCCUUUUGGACUCACAUCUUCUUUCUCACUCACUAUUUCUUUUUUAUUUAGAAAUUCAUCAUAUAGACAUCCCAUUUCGAUUUUCGCUUGAACAAUAUUGAUGUAGAAUAGACUGAGAUGUGUAAUGCUUUUCCUCUCUCUUUUUCUUCUGCAUGUAGUGCCUUUUCUUGUUUUGAUAUGCCCAAAGGUUAGGUGCAAUAAGUUUCAAAAUCUCGAAAAAAUUUGGCGUGGUUUUUCUCUAAAAAUUCAAAGGGUUUUGCCAGAAAGAGUUUGGGGAAUAGCAAGCCAUAAAUAAGGAGGGAAGAGCGGAGCUCGAUAGAAAGCAGAGGCAAGAUAGUGGUUUGUUUACAACUAGUCGUGAUCAAAGCUCUUUCAAGCGAAAAGGCACAUGGGUUCCAUUUUUUUCUAGAAGAUUCUGUAUUUCCUCUAUAAUGAGCCUUGCUUAGCUUCCACGACUCCAACGAAUGUGCUGAGAAAAAGCACUGCUUGUCACAUGACUUCUACUUUUUUCUAGGAACAACAACAAGAGAAGCUGGUCACAAGCAAGGGAAGAAAGAAGCGAAUCCACACGAGUCUAAGAAGCCUUGAAAAUAAAGAAAAUAAGUCUCACUGACGGCUAGGGGAAGGAAGGCCAGUACAGCAUACUUUCAUAAAGUGCAAGGAUCCACUAGGUUGGGUUUGCUAGUAACGGCUACUGAGGUGUAAGUAUAGUUUGAAGGGCUUCGUCAGGCAAGAAAACCACUUCAUCAAAGACUUAACAAACCCCAUUGGUGCACACCACCUUCCAAGACUGAAUCAAUGGGUUGAUUAGAUGGCAGAAGAAAAGUACAUAUGGUAUUUAAGGUAGCGUAUGAGAUAACAGACUACUAAAGGUACAUAUGUAACUCACCACUCAUUGGUAAAAGAGAAGAGAGAAAGGACCAAUUGAGGGCCUUGGGGCCGGAAUGCGGUAGGGUCUUCAAGCCCCGCGCUCGAUUCUUAGUAAGAAAGAAUAGAAGACCUACUAAAGACAGAUUGUCAAAUGGCGACGUCUAUAAAGAAGUGCUUAGAUAAUAGGGCUAGAUAGUUGUAUUGAAUCAGGUACAUGGUGAAUCGAUCACUCUCUUCAUCGUCAGGUGUUGAUAGAUGCUCGACCAAGGAAGUAAUAGAAGGUGAUGGCAAAAGAAUUAGAAUUGCGAUAUAAUAUCACGGAACCUGGGUAUUUAGAGAAGGUAGGGGUUAGCUAAAAAUCUUCCUGCAUAUCCAUACAAGACCCAAGUAGGCGGGUCGAGGUCCUACGAGGUACCCACUACUCGGAGUACCCUCUCAAAAGGAAAAAAAAAUAGUGUGAUGUGUUUGAACACACCUAUACCACGGGUAGGUGUAGCGGAAUAGAUUAUUUAUGUAAUCAAGGCAUUAUCUGGAGAAAGAUUUCAUUGCGAAAGCCUGUCCUUCUUCAGACCCAGGUCAUCUAGUCGGGGUCGACCACAAUUCCCCAAGAAAGAAAUAGAUAGAAUUUCACUAAUUAGAAGGAAAAUGAGGUGAACGAAACUUGAACAACUAGAGUUCUAAUCCUGUUGGGGAUAGUAACUUCUUAGAAAAGUAAGGACGUGACUCGUUUUCCAGCGGAAUUCGAAGAUUAGUCUUUCUCGCCUAGGAGUCAAUCACUUUUAGAUUAUGGCUUGUAAAGGUUACGAUAGCAAGCCUCUCUCCAGCCGGAAAGCUUCUAGGACAAGGAACAAGAAAACAGGUACUCAAAUGUCAUUAAGUUUAAAGUACAACUUUAAAGUUUAUAAGUUGCGGCGCUUUAAGCAAGAAAUACGAAGCGAUGACUUUGGCAAGUCACAUAGGCGUUAAGAAAAGGUGUAAAAUAUAUCAUAUGCUUGCUCAUUUCAUGAAUCUAUCCUAAGGUAAGAAAUGGUUUAAUUAAUGGAGAUAUUAACUCUUCCGGGAACUAGUAACAUGUAAACCAUAUCAAACCAAUCCCAAUGGACAAACCCUCGAUCCACUUCUAGCUCUAUAGCCCUCCUCUCCUGGGCCUAUGUAAGAAAUCUUCCUUUCAGUCGAGCUCAAUUGCAUAGAACCUGCUUCGUACUUUCCAGCCUCUUUCACUCCCUCUCUCAUUAUUAGUUAGGGAAAAGCCCUAACAAAUAAUAGAUAGAAAUAGCAAAAAGGGGCUGCUAGUUGUAGGGUGAUAGCGUAGCGCCAACAAAGUGCUCUACAAAGGAUGUUAAACCCCCCUUAUCAAUUAUUUUUUAGUACUUUUUAUUUUUAGAAACUUUUUUUAAUAUUUUUCCGCUAGUGGUUCGAUAGGCGUUCACCAUCAACAAAAUGGAAUAUAUUCUAGUAUACUUAAACCAAGAAUGUGGCACGCCCCUAUUUGUAUUAUCAUAUUUCACACUAUGCCUGGUUCUUUUGCACAGUGUCAUAGUAAGGAUAAAAUACUUAGUUAGACUAAGGCUGGGCUGCCCCUGCUCAGGCAUUACCGAAAUAGCAGAAAUGUCAUCUACCUUUCCAAUGGAAUCUUUGACCGACUUUGUUUUCGCUCCGCUCGUAGGUGGCACUCCUUGCUCGCGGAGCAGCAUAUCGAAAAAAGAAAGGUAUUGGAAGCCCUGAUCCACUCACACCAUCUAGAGGUGAAACCAAACUGCUGCAGCAUCCUCAAUAUAUCAUAAGAUAUCAAAUUGGAUAUCUCUUCCCUCACCUUCGGCGACCCUUAUACUUUCUUGAGAUGCAAGCAGAGGUCAAGAGAGGCAUGGUAGCACAAAAGAAAUCCCAUAUAAUAAUGAAACCUAGUCUGCUGCUCGAUUUUCAUGAGCGGCGGGGAGGUAGGCGAAGGUAGCUUGCUUCUCUUCUCUUGGGCUACCCACACAUGUUUUUCGCGAAGAAAAGGCAGCGAAUGGUUAUUCAUUUAGUAGAGCUACCGACCAUCAGACGACGACCACUUAUUCAGUUUGUUAUCCGUUUCACCGAGAGUGAGGCUUUCCCACUGUAAUGGAAAGGUCAGUGAAAUCCGUAAAGGAAUGCGUAAUCAAGCAUGCCUCAACUGGAUAUAUUCAUUUAUUUUACACAGUUUUUUUGGUUAUGUCUUUUCUUCCCCUACACCUGCUCGGUCGGAAAUAGCUGCUACUUACCUACGAUUACUCAGCGGCCUCAGAGACCGAACUGAUCUAUUAACACCUACUUUAUCUAUGGGGUCUCGUGAAAUGCUAGUUAUGCAACCCAAGAGGGGGUGAAUUGGGAUAUUAAAAAUUAUUCAAUUUUAAAACAAAACUCAAUGCAAAUCGAAGACGGAUUUAAAGCAAUAACAAAUAAAUCAAUCAAGCACAAUAAAAAGAUUAAGGGAAGAGAAAACAAACACAAUGAUUUUUACGUGGUUCGGCAAUCCCUGCCUACGUCCACGCCUCCAAGCUCAUUGGGUUUGAGGAUUUCACUAAGCAAGCCUCCAAGGCUUCAAAUGCUUACAAUUAACUUCCAAGGUGUCAAUGGACCUUCACAACAAGAGAUUAUCCUAAUCUCUUAACCCAAGUGUAUCUCAACACUUACAAUCUUUUGACUUGAUUUUACAAAAAGGAUUACAAAUGAAUUUCUCUCACACAAUGUGUUUGAUCACAAAUGAAAGCUCAAUAUGUGAAUGAAUGAGAUGAAUACAAAAAUUUAAAGCUCAAAGAAAGUUGUAUUCUCAAUAGUUUGCUCAAUGAUGAUCGUUGGGAUUGUUUUUUGUUUGAAUUGGAUUGAGCUUAUUUAUAAUUGGAACUGAAAAACUAGCCUUUAUUGACUGUCUGCCCGUAAAUGGAUCGCCGUUAAUUGUAAACGGUUAACUGUUUAUUCUAGUCAAAGUUACCUCUGAGCUGAAUUUCAAAUAAACGGUUGACCGUUUGUCACUAUCGAUUCACUAUUAAUUUCCAGAGACCUACAAAAUAAAUUUGGCUUAACCGUUCUCACUAAACGAUUCAAGGUUAGCAAUCUGGAAAUAAUCGGUUUACCAUUUUCAGUAAACGGUUCACCGUUAUUUUCCAGAAUCAUCAUUUUAACAAUACUUUGCAGAACAUGCUUUCUGGAAAUUAUCGGUUAGCCGUUCUCAAUAAACGGUUAGCCGUUUGCUACAGUGAUUGCUACAAUGAAAUUAUUUUCUAAAAUUAUAGUUUUACCCCAAAACUAUCAAUAAUUAUACUAGGGCCCAAAUUGUCAUCAAACUUUACAAAUAAGUCCAUUUCCAAAGUUUCAAAACUUUUUCAAUUUAGACCAUUAAUUGAAAACAACCAAUUUCAUAAAAUCAUUUCUCCAUUAAGUAUAAAGCCUUUAUAUUAUGAAAAUAAUGAUUUAUUUAAAAUAAUUUGAGCUUUUAAAAACUUAAUCAUUCUUAAUCUUGUUUGUUAUCAUCAAAAUCAACAUUAUGGAUACAUAUAUACUAACAAUCUCCCCCUUUUUGAUGAUGACAAACCUUGCAUGUAUUUAAAGAAUGAUUCCACAACUUGCUCUUACAAUUUAGCUAAUUAGCUAAAUUAACAAAUUUAAAUACAUGCAUUUUUGUCCCCCUUCAUCAUAAAAAAAAAUUUAAUUGGUAAAGAAAAAAUAGCAAAUUUUUAUAAAUUUAAAAACAUGUACUCUUCUCCCCCUUCAUCAUCAAAAAGAAAAUGUAAAGGAAAAUAAUAAAAGUAGCAAAUUUGUUACCCAUAUUGUCCGAAUAGAAAUUUCGACAAAAUCUCUCCCUAACAAUAAGCAUCACCUCAAAUACAAGUUUAGUAAUAUCACAUCCAAAUUAUUAUAGAUCAUGAUAAAAGCCAACUCCAUACACAAAUCAUCACACCAAAAUAUCAUGAACCAUUAUUCCAUCAAUUACCAAGUCAACAACUCAUAACAUAAAAUUAUCAUAUAAAACUCCAUGUAAUCAAAUCAUCAUCAUAUUUCAAAAUCAUCACCAUAAUCACAUAUUAAUCAUCAAAACAAUAUUCAAGAGUCCAUAUUAUUCUCCUCCUUUUGACAACAUCGAAAUGGUAUAUUACUUUGUCUUCCCCUUUGGACAACCAAAAAGUUCAAAAUGUAUAUUAUCCAAAAUCAUAUUGUAUGCUCCCCCUAAAUAUAUGGCCAAUUUUAAAUUUUAACCAAAAUGAUUUUAUCCGAAAACAUAUCACAUUUAUCUCUUCCUUCAUUAUAAAAAAAAUAAAAGAUAGAUAGAUGCAAUCGAAACAAGAUCAUUAAAAAAAAUAACUCAAUGAAGAUAUUACUCAUUUUGUGCGUGCAAAAAUUUCGACAGAGUCUCCCCUUAAAAAAUGAACAAAUCCUCAAAUUCACAACAUGGUUAAAAACGUUUCCAUAUAAGUUUAAACAAUUAUAACAAACCAACAACUCCUUCAAUUCAUCAAGCAACGGACAUAUAAUCAUCAAUCAUCAAAAUCAUCAAGAAAUCAAAUCAUCCCAAGUUUAUGCCGAAUUUUUGAAAAUAGCUCUUCGCAAAGAGGUUUUGAUUUCUUUACUAAAUUGGCAUGCAUAUUAUCAACUAUCCAAGUUCCAUAAUUACCGAUCACAUUUUAUAUAUCAAGAGAACUAAACUCAUCAAAGAUCUAAUGUGACAUUUCAAUAUAACUUAAAAAAUCUUAUAUGCUUAAAAUUCUCGAAAUAUAUGUAUUUUUUCCUUUUUCGAUAUCAUUUAAAACAAGAAAGACAUAUUCAACAAUACAUCGAUAAAGUAUAAAAAAAAUGCAUUCAUUUACUAAUCAUAGAUUGCAUAAGAUCAAAGCUUCAUCAAAUACAAUGUAAUCAUCACUGCACAUUUUUUUUAUCAUCAAAAUUUAAGUAAAACAUAAGUACAUAAUGACAAUAUAAGAUCAUCAAAAUCAACAUACCUAUUAAGAAAAGCUAUCAUUAUAAGUAAAGAACAAGUGAUCAAAUUCAUAAGUACAAUAAGUCAUUUGUGCAAAUUUUAUAAAUGAUAUAACACAAUUAAUGGCAUAUGAAUUCACACAUACAUAAGAGAUGGACAAUGAUGAUAGACAAUUAAGAAGAUGAAAUUAAAGACCAUACAAUCAUCAAAAUCAAAUAAAGGCAUCAUGAUAAAUCACUCAAUGUUAUACACAAUGAUAAUUCCAUCAUGUAAACAUACAAGCAUACUUUCGCAAAAUCAAGCUAUUAUCCAUUUAUCAUGAUCCACUCAACACAAUAAAUAGGCAAGAUAAGCUUAUCCACAUCAUAUUAAUGCACUUAAUGUUAUGAUAAGAUAUGAAAUACUUACUAAGAUUAAAAGACUAUCACUUAUAAUCAAUAAGGCAAUAAUUGUUACCAAAACAAUUAAAUCAUCUUGUUCCAUCAUUUUUGCUUAGACAAUGAUCAAGUGAUUAUCCUUAUAAGCUUUCAUCAAGGAACUCUCUGUCAUUCCUUGAUUGUGGUACCUACAAAGAAAAUAUUCAAGUUGUGCUCUUUGGUACCCAAAUACUAUUGGGUCCUUGAGUGUUAGCAAUGGUUCCUUUUGGAACCCAAACACAUUUUACUCCAUAAUAUACUUUUCUUUUAAUAGGACAACCAAACUUCAUGUGACCGUUUUGAUUACAAUAAUGACAUACAAUCUUAUGAUCACUUGUGGAGGUAGCCUUAACAAAAUAAUUCUUAUAAUAUUUUUGUUUCAAGUAAGGCUAAUACCCAAGUCCUCCUUUAUCAAACACACAUUUUUGAGUGCUUAGUAAUUUUUCUAAGUUCUUUUGACCACUUGUGAAUUUUAACACAAUUUCGUUGAGCUCAUUACUCUUUUUCUUAAGCACUUCAUUUUCUUUCAUCAAUUCAUCAACAUGUGAUUUUUCAUGCUCAUAUGAAAUACUUUGUUUACCUUUAAAUGAUGCAAUUCUAUUAUGCAAUAUUUUAUUAUCUAGCUCUAGUCCUUUAAUUUUUUCAUUUAAUGAAUCAUUGAAUUUUUGUAAAGCAUCCUUUUCAUUUUUCAAGUCAUCUACAUAUGAUUCUAGAUGCUCAUGUGAAGUGCUAGGUUUCUCAUUUGAUAAUGCAACUCUAUCAUGCAAUGUUUUAUUCUCUAAUUCUAAGUAUGUAAUCUUUGCACUUAGAGAUUCAUUUUCAUUUGUGAGUUUUACCAUUUUUUUUUAAGACAUGCAUUCUUUUGACCAAUACUUAUCCAAUUAUCAUGUUAUUUUUUAAAAGCAUCAUAUAAUUCAUCAUAAGUAGAAAGAUCAUUUACCUCAUCAAGUUCUUCAUCCGAUUCAUCUCUAAUUGUCAUGAGAGCUAGAUUUGUCAUUUCUUGAUGCUCUUCAUCAUCACUUGUUUCCUCAUCGCUAUCAUCCCAUGUGGCUACCAUUGCUCUCUUCUUAAACUUGUUGAGAAGAGGGCAUUCCGUUCUUAUAUGAUCAGGCUUCUUGCACUCAUAACAUUUGAUUACUUCAUUUUUCUCCUUUCAGUUCUUGAGUCUCUAAAUUUUCUUCUCUCACCAGAUUUCUUAAAAAGUUUUCUAAACCGCCUAGCCAGCAUAUCCAUCUCCUCUUCAUCCAGCUCGCUUUCCUCAUCACUUUUAUGUUUCGAGCCUUUGAUAGCAAUGUUUUUCUUCUUCUCCUCAUUGCCUCUUUCGGCUGCCAAGUCUUCCUCAUAAAAAAUAAGAGAACUAAUUAAAUCAUCAAUAGGUAAAAUAUUUAAAUCUUUGGCUUCCUCAAUGGCAGUCAUUUUUUGUCUCCAUUCCUUAGGUAGCGACUGAAUGAUUUUCUUAACUUUCUCGCUAUUUGAAAAGGUAUUUCCUAGGGCUUCUAGAGUGCUCACUAUGUCCGUAAAUCUAGUAUAUAUAGAAUACACAUUCUCAUUUUGUUCCAUUUGAAACAAUUCAUAUUGUCGAGUGUACCUACUAAUUUUAGACUCUUUCACUUGAUUCGUGCUUUCAUAAACAACUUCAAGUUUGUGCCAAAUUUCAUUAGCACUUUCACAACUAGAUACUCUAUGAAACUCUUUCUUAUCUAGUGCACAAAACAAGGCAUUCAUAACUUUGGAAUUUAGAGAAGCUCUUCUCUUUUUCAAUUCAUCCAAUUCCCGUGAGGGUUUUGGAAUAUCUUCCCCGACUUCGUUUUUAGUCAAAGGCAUAAAUGGAUCAUCACAAACAAUUUCUCAAAUUUCAUAAUUUAAAGCUUGUAAAUAAAUUCUCAUCCUAGUUUUCCAAUAUGGGUAGUCAUUACCAUCAAAGAAUGGUGGUCUAAUUAUGGAUUGUCCUUCCCUAAAGGUUGAGUCAUUAUGGGUUCCCAUAGAUUUUUAACUCUAGACGGUUAACUCUACACAAGAGCACCUUACUCUGAUACCAAAUGAAAUGCUAGUUAUACAACCCAAGAGGGGGUGAAUUGAGAUAUUAAAAAUUAUUUAAUUUUAAAACAAAACUCAAUGCAAAUCGAAGACGAAUUUAAAGCAAUAACAAAUAAAUCAAUCAAGCACAAUAAAACAAUUAAGGGAAGAGAAAAAAAAACACAAUAAUUUUUACGUGGUUCGGCAAUCCCCGCCUACGUCCACGCCUCCAAGCUCACCGGGCUUGAGGAUUUCACUAAGCAAGCCUCCAAGGUUUCAAAUGCUUACAAUUGACUUCCAAGGUGUUAAUGGAACUUCACAACAAGAGAUUAUCCCCAAUCUUUUAACCCAAGUGUAUCUCAACACUUGCAAUCUUUUGACUUGAUUUUACAAAAAUGAUUACAAAUGAAUUUCUCCCACACAAUGUGUUUGAUCACAAAUGAAAGCUCAAUGUGUGAAUGAAUGAGAUGAAUACAAAGAUUUAAAGCUCAAAGAAAGUUGUAUUCUCAAUAUUUUGCUCAAUGAUGAUCGUUGGGAUUGUUUUUUGUUUGAAUUGGAUUGAGCUUAUUUAUAAUUGGAACUGAAAAACUAGCCUUUAUUAACUGUCUGCCCGUAAAUGGAUCGCCGUUAAUUGUAAACGGUUAACCGUUUAUUCUAGUCAAAGUUAUCGUUGAGCUGAAUUUCAAAUAAACGGUUGACCGUUUGUCACUUUCGGUUCACCGUUGAUUUCCAGAGACCUACAAAAUAAAUUUGGCUUAACCGUUCUCACUAAAUGGUUCAAGGUUAGCAAUCUGGAAAUAAUCGGUUCACCGUUUUCAGUAAACGGUUCACCGUUAUUUUCCAGAAUCAUCAUUUUAACAAUACUUUGCAGAAUAUGCUUUCUGGAAAUUAUCGGUUAGCCGUUUUCAAUAAACAUUUAGCCGUUUGCUACAGUGAUUGUAUUUUCUAAAAUUAUGUUUUACCCAAAACUAUCUAUAAUUAUACUAUGGCCCAAAUUGUCAUAAAACUUUACAAAUAAGUCCAUUUCCAGAGUUUCAAAACUUUUUCAAUUUAGACCAUUAAUUGAAAACAACCAAUUUCAUAAAAUCAUUUUUCCAUUAAGUAUAAAGCCUUUAUAUUAUGAAAAUAAUGAUUUAUUUAAAAAUAAUUUUAGUUUUUAAAAACUUAAUCAUUCUUAAUCUUGUUUGUUAUCAUCAAAAUUAACAUUAUGGAUACAUAUAUGCUAACAUCUCGAUCUUGAACUCAAACUGAUGCCUAAUUGCCUGAAUCUCUGCUUCCUUCUACUACCAGCGGGCUAGCCUUAGUUAUAUUCAAAAAGGAAAAGGCGCUACUAUACAAUACAUUAGUAGGGUAGGCUUUGCUAACUCAGCCGCUUACUUCUACUAAUGGAGAACACCUCUUCUCGGGCUUUUGGCUUUAGUUUACAAACCUACCUGUCUUUCUUUUCUUCCUUGACAUUCAUGAGUAAGAUCUUAUGGUAGAUUGCCCUCCUGGGAGGCACUUGGCAACUCACUCGUGCAGGGAGGGAAAGGGCUUCUCUUUCUAUAGGAAUAUAGACCUGUCUUAUUUCCACUCUUUUCCUUUAAGUGAUCUUAUUUCGGGGAUUAAUCGGUUUGCGCCACAAAGACGAUUGUAGAAAGAUAUCAGGAUUAUACUCAAAAGACUUGCUUUUGUUGUUCCUAUUCCUUAUCAUAUUACCUAUUAUCUUUUUUAGGAGUGUCGAUUGAGAAUACUCCUACUCAUCUUCCAACUCCUUUAAUCCCGCAGCACUUUUAUAUGGAGAAGAAAGAUAGGCUUACCAUGUUACAUCAAUAGCACCUAACCUAUGCCGAUUUUGGUGGACCAUGCUCAACCCCGGUGAACUCAUGCGGUUCCGCUUGGGGCGGGCUCAACUAUCUCACUUGAAGAAAGAUAGACUAGAGAAUAUAAAUAGAAGAUAAUCAUGGUACAAUCUAUCAUAAGAAAACGCAAGUUUCCGGCCCUUCCUACGAUGAUUGUUUAAGUCGCAGUACAAGAUGAGUUCCCGUUUGAAAAAUCCUUUAUCUAUUAGGUACGUUGCCUUCGAGCCUUCAAAGAGGAACCAUCACUAUCUUUUUGUUAGGAAUUUUGUCUAUUUUAUUCUUUCUUUGGGAUUCAACGGCAAAAAAUUCGACGUGAGAAGGGGCUAUAUGGGAUAUCUAUCUACGGGGGCCUGCACUUUAUUAUAGGGAAAAGGGGGAAAGAUGAACUUCAUUCGGUAGCAGCAUUCUUGAAGACUUUCCCCGCUCUAGAACAAUAGUAAGUAGUCAGUAUAGUCAGUAGUUGGCCUUAAGCCUAGCUGUGUUACGGAAUCGUGAGGCUUAGACAUGCAUCCGUUAUACUGUACGGGAUGUUGAUAUGCGAAGCUUGUCUAUGACUCUGGGGACAUCGUGGUGCCACCAUAGGCCACGUUGUGCUAUCGUGAGCAUGAGCUUGGAUUCCGCUAUGCUUGUGACGAUAAUAGCUAUAAGGUCGUGUUUGGUUUUAAGAAAGGGGAGGAGAUGAAAAGAGUGGAAUGGAGGGGAAAGGAGAAGAGAGGAGUGGAAGAGAAUAGUGAAAUUAAAUUUCAUUAUUUGGUUUGACAUAAAAUUUAAUAGGGAAAGGAAUUGUAAUUUUUUUUUGGACAAAUUUAUCAUUUGCCUUAAAUAUUAAAUUAUCUAUAUUAAUAAUAAAAUAUAAUUUAAUAUUAAUACCAAACUUUUUUUAUUUCAAAAAGUUCUAAAACAAAUCAUGAUUUAUAUUUAAUAUAAAAUAUAAAAUAAUUUAAUAUCUUAAACUAUUUAAUAUAAUAUAAUAUUAAAUAUAAUUUAAUAUAAAUAAAAGCCAGUCAAUAUAAGUCAACGUCGGUCAACAUAAGUCAGCACCGGUCAACGCCGGCCGGCUAUUUUCCGAUAGAAGUCUAGCGAGUUCCGGCGGAGAUCCGGUGUGCCGACGGUGGUCUGGUUAAAAUCCGGCGAAGUUCCGACGGAAAUCCGGUGAAGGUCCGGCGAUAGUUAAUUUAUAUUUAUAUAUUUUCAUAUUAAAUAAAUAAAUAAGUUUAUUUAUUUUAUUAAAUUUUAUUAAAUUUUUUAAAUCAUUCAUUAAAUUUGAUAUUAUAAAAUUAUUUAUAAUAUUAAAUUGAUAAAAUAAAAUUAUAAAUAAUUAUUAUUAUUAAUAACAUUAAACAAGUUGAAAUGUUGAAGGGCAAUUUUGAAAACUUGUGUUUUCAACAUAAGAGGAAUUUAAAUUCUUCACUUUUUGGUGUGGAAUUUAAAUUCUACAUUAUAAGGGAUAUUAAAUUUUAAUGGAAAUUAAAUGCUUAUAUAUUUUGUGCAACCAAACAAUGAAAAUAAAAGUAGAAUUUAAAUUACUUUCCUCUCCUCCAUUCUCUACCCCCAACCAAACAUCACGUAUACCAAAUAACCCCUUUUUUGUAAAUCCUAUGAUGCAAUUGGAGCUUAUCGGCAGAAAAGAAUCAAUUUAGAGCAGUCUUUCUAUCCUUUUUUUGGGGUUGCAUGCCUAAGGCAAUGUUUUUCGUUUUUGUAGAUUGAGAUGGAUUGAUCUUCGCUAUCGUGCCUCUUCCUUGUACCAGUGGAUGCUGCGGCAGUGCCUAAUAAGCAUGUAGUAAAUGACUCUUGUUUCCUCGUCAAGGUGUAAUAAAGAUUCAGUCCAUAAGGGUUGCAUUCUAUAUAUGCUUUCCAAAUUGUUGGGUCGUUGCCUCAAAGAAUUGUUCCUCCGGUGUGAAACCAGUUGGUUCCGUUAUAAAAUGUGGUGCGGGUUCAUCUCUCUCCACCAGUUCAGGUUCGUUCAAGGGAAGGGUGCUCGACGGGACCCAGACUUGAAAUCUCUUAAAGAAAGAAAGCUUCCGAUUCACUUAGAAAACACUGAUCCCUCACCUUGAUACUAAAUCGGAUCGAGCCCGGGAUCUUCUUGAAAAUGGGAAGAUCUAGGAUAGGCGGUUCUUUAUCUUUAAGUUCAUUCACUACAGGUUCUCUUACUUGCUCUAGUGGCUGACAAACGCCAACCGGGAGGGGAGGCUCAGGAAUCGACAGGUAAGAUAGAUAGUUGACCUUUUGAGGUAAGGAAUUGGCCUGUUCAGGUUAAAUCAUCCAUGAACCCAAAGUAGCACAUGCAAUUGGAUCACGCUAGCUCAAUAUUGGUGUGCUUGAAAUUUGCAUGCAAGGAAUUUGUCUUCAAAUUUACCUCUCAAUAUUGGUGUGCUUGAAAUUUGCAUGCAAGGAAUUUCUCUUCAAAUUUACCUCUCAAUAGAGGUGUGCUUGAAAUUUGCAUGCAAGGAAUUUGUCUUCAAAUUUACCUCUUCAAAGUUGAAUGCAUGCAUGUAUUUGAAUUUCAAUUUUAAAUUUUUCAACAGAUGGCGUGUAAGGAUCGCCUUAAGCUUGCGGUCCAAAAUCCGGUGAAAUAUCCGCCUUUUCCAUGAGCAACUAUUGACAAAUCAUGAAUGAAUUGCGGAUCGACCAUUCAUAAUGGCCAAAGACCUUUCAACUUCUUCAAUGAUCCCCAACCUCACCAUUUGGCAUUUAAUUGCAUGAACAAAAUUGUCAAAGAAUUUUGCUAUUUCAUUAUCACGCUUUUACCGAGCAAUUAUUUUGCCCUAUUUUCUUUAAUGUUUUCCCACAUUCAAGUCAAAUUUUCAACAUGUAGAAAAUUUAGCACUUGUUAGUCGAGUUAGACUUCUUUUUAUCGCGGUUUAAGAGAAUUCAAAUAUUUUAAUAAUAAAUUUAGCUAUUGAAAAUUAUAUUUAAAUAAAUUUUUUUAGGGAACAAUAAUGGAAUUAAAAUUUAUGUGGUUAACAAUAUUGAUUAUUGAUGAAAAUUAAAAAAUAAUGGUUUAAGUGAAACAACUUUUUCAAGAAAACAAAUUUACCAGAUUCCAUGUGUAUAAAUUUGUUGAAACAAAUAGUGAAAAUAUAUAAGAUUUUCUUAUUUCCCCAAGCCUUUUGGUUUUCAAGCAUCUAUAUUUGGCUAGUCACCCGAAUGUAAAUCUUGAGGGAGAUAGAAGUGUUAUAAUAAGCUCACAUUAUUUUCAAAAAAUAGAGAUAAACAAAGAGAUUGGGCAAUUAAUCAAUUAAUUCUUAUGUAUUUUUUUCACUUAUGUUUGUUUAACCAUAUUUGCUAUUAAGGUUGGUUUAAGACAAAUUUUAUUUCAAUGUUUUACCCAAGAUACAUAAAAUGACCAAAUUAUCCAAAGAUAAUGUGAUAAUGUUCCUAUAUCUAACAAUCUAGGUAUUUAGUUUUGUGACUUACAACAUGACAUCCAAUAAAUUACAUGAGUCUUGUGCAUAAAAAUAUUUUGUUAGUUUAACUAAAUCUCAAUAAUCAUUCUAAUAAAUUCGUUUUGAUACAUUUUUUAGAAAUUAUAAAUUUUGUAUAAAAUUCAAAAUUUCUGAACUUAAAGUAAAUUUUUUGGUAUUUUUGGUACUUUUACCUUAUAAGAGUAAAUAAUCAAUUUAAAAUUAUGACAAAGCAAUCGUUUUAGUCAAAUAUGAUAAAAAAAAAUUAAAGUCACAAAACAAUUCAAGGUAGAUUUAAUUAAUUACUUCUCAAACUUCUUCUUUAUUUGAAUUUUCUUUAAAAAUAAUGUGAAUUUAUUAUAAUUAUUUUCUUGAAGUGGGGUGGGUUUACAAAAAUUGUGGUAUGAAAAUAUCAGCACUGUAAAUGAAAAAAAAGAGAGAAAAAAAUGGUCACAUUUUGUCAUUUAGCAAAAUGAUUAUAUAGAUACUUUUUGAAUAAUUACACCUAGAUAAAAAUAAUUUGAUCACUACAAUAAAAGACAUAGUUGUCGUAAGAAGAGACGAUGUCACUAUUUUUUAAAAACAAAAUAUAUAUAUUUAUAAAAAUUGUACAAAACCACGUAAGUGCUUUAAUUUCCCCUUAAAACAAUUAAAACAAAUCAAUUGAAAGAUUCGGAUCCCUUUUUUUCUUUUUUUCAAUAGUACAAAUGGAAGAAAAAUAUAUCUACAAAGCUCACAAAAGACCCGUCAUCCUUUUAUCAAUCAACCAUUGUAUUAUAUAUUCAUGUGAGAAUCUGAAUACUCACAAAAAUCGCUCGUGCAUAUAGCAAUAGUCACCAUUCAUUUCGCAUAGAAAAACGUCGUCAUUUUGUUUAUAAACCAAAAACUUAUUAUCACUUAUUUGUCGCCAGCCUAAAGAGUAGUUUUCAAAUAGUAUUAUUUGGUUGGUUCCGAGUUUGAUCCUAAAACUAAAGGAAAUAAGGAAUUAAUUUGAACUUUGUCUACUAUUCUAUCAUUUAAAGAAAAAUAAAUAAAAUAUAUAUUAUCACAAAUUUAAAUUAUCCAUUUAUAAGGAGAAACAUAAGAAUCAUGACUGAUUUUGUCAAUUUAUGUGUAAACAGUCAAAGACGCCGAGAUAAAAAUUACUAAGUAAAAAAUUAUAAAUUUAUCAACACUAAAAGAUGUUAUCAAUUUAUCUCACUCAGAAAUAAGGAGACAAUUUUCGGAUUUUAAACGGCUGAAAUAGCUCCAUUGAUUUUAACAUCUAUAGCGUACAACAUUAUUGCACGGAAACACCACAAAUUGAGUCCCCCACAUGAACUGUCGAGUCUCACAUUUUCAACAAAAAUCAUAAACAUCCAAACACACGGAAUUAAUUAAAUAAAAAGAUAAUUAUUUUAUUAAAUAUGAUUUUAUCUUUAAUCUCAUAUAAACAAAUUAGCUAAACAUACUUAAAUAAGAGCAACAAAACAAAUAAAACCAGUCAUGAGAAUUAAAUUACUACUGCUGCCACUAUUCUUCUUCUCCUUUUCUGCCUUGCGUCUGCCUUUUUUCUUCCUCUUUGGCGGCUCCCUCUCCUCUUCGUCCAAAAGCCAAAACCUUACUUAUAGAAUCUUCAAAAUAGGCCCCACGUUUUCAAUUCUAAAGCCAAAAGGCUUUGGCCUUUUAUUUGUUUUGCUCUCACCACUUGGUAUUUAAUUGCAUGAACAAAAUUGUCAAAGAAUUUUGCUAUUUCAUUGUCACUCUUUUGCGGAGCAAUUAUUUGGAUUAAUAUCCUUAAUCUGAACACUCUUGAUCUUUUAUAGAUCUUAUAUCACCUGUAUUUUAGUAUUAGUGUAGGAUUAAGAUUUAAUUUUUUUUAAUUUAUUAACCACCAAUUGUUUUAAUAGAAUUUGCUCAUAUCAAGACCAGAUCAAGAGAGAAUUAUGAUUCCAAUUAUUUUAUCCUAUUUUCUUUAAUGUUUUCCCACAUUCAAGUCAAAUUUUCAACAUGUAGAAAAUUUAGCACUUGUUGGUCGGGUUAGACUUCUUUUUAUCGCGGUUGAAAAAAUUCAAAUAUUUUAAUAAUAAAUUUAGCUAUUGAAAUUUAUAAUUAAAUAAUUUUUUUUCAGGGAACAAUAAUGGCAAUAAAAUUUAUGUGGUUAAGAAUAUUGAUUAUUCAUGAAAAUUAAAAAAUAAUAGUUUAGGUGAAGCAAAUUUUCAAGAAAACAAAUUUACCAGAUUCUGUGUGUAUAACAUUUUCAACACUAAAAAUGUGAGCUCCUGAUAUCAUAUAUAAAUAUGUAAAAAGGGAAGGGAGGAUGAAAGAUAAAUUGAAGUGAAAGGAAGAAAUGGAAGGUGAGAACACAAAACCAAAGAUACUUAUCUUUGGGGGUACUGGAUACUUCGGUAAGUAUAUGGUGAAAGCAAGUGUUUCUUCUGGUCACAAAACUUUUGUUUAUGCUCGACCUGUUACACAAAAUUCAAGACCCUCCAAGCUUGAAAUCCACAAGGAAUUUCAGGGUAUUGGCGUCACCAUUAUUGAGGUUACUUCAUUACUCAAUUAUCUCGAUCUCUUUGGUUUUGUUUCUUCUUUUUUUUUUCUUCUUUUUUUCCCCCUUUAAAUGCACGCGCGAAAUUCGAACCUCAGCCCUCUUAUACUUCUUUUUAUGAGAUUAAUUUUGUGUUGAUCUAAUUGGAGCCCUUCGAUAUUAUUUGUAAUAAUACUGUUGAAAUUAAAACAGGAGAGCUGGACGAGCACGAGAAAAUUGUAUCUAUACUUAAGGAAGUAGAUGUGGUGAUAUCUACUGUAGCUUAUCCUCAGUUUCUUGAUCAACUGAAAAAUUGUUCGUGCCAUCAAAGUUGCUGGUAACAUCAAGGUAUUUGAUUGAGCUCUUUCUUUUUUAAAAAAAAACAAAUCGUUGUUUUUUUUUUUUUUUGGGGAGAAAUUGAAAAUAUAGUUUGUUGCUAAUUGAAAAAUAUUAGAAACUUUUAAGUGUAGACGUUUGCAUUUUGUAAAUGUAGAUUUAAACUAGGCAAUAGUAGUUAGUUAUAAAAGACAUAAAAAUAUAUACGAGAGCUACUUAAUUAGCAAAAUACCUAAAAUCCCAAACUUUAAUUUCGUAUUUGUGUCUUCGUAACAUUUUAGUGUCUUUUUACAAAUCAGUGCUGCAUUGCUUCAAAUUUGUUUAUAUAGAACAAAUCUUAAAACACACUAUGUUUUGGUUGCUAGAGGUUUCUUCCAUCUGAGUUUGGAUGUGAAGAGGACAGGGUGAGGCCUCUGUCCCCUUUUGAAGCUUACUUGGAGAAAAAAAGAAUAGUAAGAAGGGCAAUAGAAGCAGCUAAAAUUCCCUACACCUUUGUCUCAGCAAAUCUCUAUGGUGCUUACUUUGUGAAUGUCUUGCUUCGUCCAUCUGAAUCAUAUGAUGAUGUUGUUGUUUAUGGAAGUGGUGAAGCAAAAGGUACGUUUGCUUCCCAACGCAGAAGUCCACACAUAUUAAAAUACAAUUUACACUAAAAGUUCAUUUGUUGAAUAUUUUUUUUGAUGUUAUAUCAUCUAUUAUCUAUUUCAGCUGUCUUUAAUUACGAGAAAGAUAUAGCUAAAUGUACAAUCAAAGUGAUAAAUGAUCCAAGGACAUGCAAUCGAAUUGUGAUUUAUCGACCGCAAACAAACAUUUUUAUCACAGCUUGAAUUGAUCUCCCUUUGGGAACAGAAGACUGGACGGAGUUUUAAAAGAAUUCAGGUUUCUGAGGAAGAGCUAGUAAAGCUAUCUCAGAGUAAGAAUUUUGAUUUUUUAUUUAAUUUUUUGUUUAAUAAAAUUAUUCACUUUUAUAUAAAGUCAUAAAAGAUAAAAUCAAUGCAAGCAGAAGCGGAACCGGAAUGAUGUUCCAUUCUAUGGGCCCAAAGUGAAAAUCUAGUGGGGUCAAUACGUAAAUUUUUUUUUUGGUUAAAUUUCAAAGCAGGCGCUCAUCUUUUAUAAAUUUUUGCCAUAACCUAAUAUGUUUCUCGUGUAUGAUAUUUAUCACUCAUUUGACUGUUGAUUGUUUGAAGUUAGUAUCUAACUAAGCGUACAAUACCCCACAAUCCGAGUAUUAUUAGAUAACUAGAAAAUAGAACUGCGCUUCACGCGGCUUUGAAAAAAGAAUUUAGUAUUAUCAUUUUUUCUUACUUUACACUUGAUGAAACUGAUAAAAAAUAUGAAUUGAUUUUUUUUUAAGAUGAGGCAGCCUUAUAAAAAAUAAAAAAAACUAUUAGCCAGCAAUACAAAUAAAGAAGCAACGCAAUAUAAAGAAUAAAAUGAGAGAAUAUAUUAUAGAAUGAUUUUAUCCAUUCCAAUUGUGUGUGUACAAAACAAAAAGAUGAGUUCUCAUUUUAUAGUUACAUAAUCACUCCAUGAAAUAAAUGAAAAAUUAUGGAUCAUAAUUCAUUGUGAGAUAGUUGGAGUUAUAGGGAAGCUAAAGGUUGCUAAUGGGAGAUAGGUGGGAGACUAAGAGAUAUAUGUUAUGAACAUCUACAUUUAUUUUAAUAAAUUCAUAACACUCCCCCUUGAAUGUUUAUUACAAAAAAUAUGCUUCAUUAAAACCUUUACAUAAUUAUUAUUGUGUAAUAACAAUCAAAUUAAUUGUGAGAAGAUGAAAAGCUAAAUCUAAAAGAAAAUUUCUCUAUUUGUUAGAUAAUAGAGAAUAUACAAAGAUGAGAAAUGGUAAUGUUCAAUCACCUCCUCAAGUCCCAACUUUAUAUAUAUAUAGAUUAAAAAGUUUAAGAAAGUCAAUAAAAUAAAAACUAUCUAAUUGGUGCCAGAUUGGGUAUGGUGUACAUAGGAUAAUUUUUCUUGUUAAAUGAAGUCAAUUAAUAAAGUAUUUCUCAAACCUAAAAGUACUUAUUUAAUGUUAGGGUGAUGUAACAGCUUUUAUUUUAGAUUUUUUUAAAUUGAAAAAUUUUUAAUUAACUCAUUCUAAGAAAAAUUCAUAUAUUCACCUGUAACAUUUAAGAAAAAUAAAAUAUUUCCACCCCUAACUAUAAGAUUUCAUAGGCUUCGAUCUCUUUAACAUCUCAUUCAUUUUUACACUUAAUUGAUAUUGUUUAUUACAACCUAUUAAUUUUUCAAUUGUUGCAGCCUUACCACCUCCAGAAGACAUACCAAUAUCCAUCAUGCACAGCCUAUUUGCAAAGGGUGACUCGAUGAACUUUGAACUUGGAGAGGAUGACAUUGAAGCUUCAAAGCUGUAUCCAGAUUUUAAAUUCACCACAAUCGAUCAACUUCUUGACAUUUUUCUCAUUGACCCCCCAAAACCUGCACGUACGGCUUUUGAAUAAGAAGCUUAAUUUAUGUAAUUUUCAACUUUAAAUUGUCUCUGAAACUAGUUCUAUCCUUGUUUUGUGUCAAUAAAUCGAAAGACGGAAUAACAGAAUAUGCAUGGAACUCCAUGCCNNNNNNNNNNNNNNNNNNNNNNNNNNNNNNNNNNNNNNNNNNNNNNNNNNNNNNNNNNNNNNNNNNNNNNNNNNNNNNNNNNNNNNNNNNNNNNNNNNNNNNNNNNNNNNNNNNNNNNNNNNNNNNNNNNNNNNNNNNNNNNNNNNNNNNNNNNNNNNNNNNNNNNNNNNNNNNNNNNNNNNNNNNNNNNNNNNNNNNNNNNNNNNNNNNNNNNNNNNNNNNNNNNNNNNNNNNNNNNNNNNNNNNNNNNNAUUUAUGCUGCCAACUUCAGAUUCUAUCUUUAUUUCACAAAAUAGGCAGGGGAAAAGCAGACAAAUCCUAUGAUAAAAUUGGAGAAAACAAUAGAAUCACUUUCAAAUGGUCAGCAAGAAGUGAACAACCAUAUGAUAAAAUUGUUUAGUAAACUUAGCGCUAGAAUGGAUUCAAUAUGAUGGUAGUUUCGAAAGUAAAAGUUAAAUAAUCCAUCUAGCAUUCAACAUUAAAUGUUAAGUUAUUCUUUUUCACACUUAAUUUUAUUCAAACUUAUUUGAUAAAUUUUCGGUGUUAAUUUAAAAACAAACAAAUUGAAAAUAGCUGGAUUUAGUUUCAAUAUUAAGUGAAAAAACAAACAACACCGAACCCUUGAUUCUGGCAUUUUCCUUGUAUGAAGUUAUUUAAUCAAAUAAAAAAUUGUUUUCUUAUUGGAAUUGCGCAUCGGUGUUUGUCUCAUACCAUUUAUAUUCAUAUCAUAUUUUUCUUCUUUUAAUCUCUUUUUAAAUUUUAUUGUAUUCGUAAAAUUUUCUUUACACAGAAAACAGAAAAUUUUACUAAUAAAGGGUUCAUCUCACUUAGCGCCCUAUUUGUUACGCAAGUAGUUUCAAUAUUAUUUUGUUAAUGAGUUUGAAAGCAUUCAAAUUCAAUUGUUUCCAUUUUUUUAGUUCAUUUUAUAAAAUGCAUUGAUGAAAUUUGAGAUCAUUUUAGUAAUUGGGGUUCAUUGGACAUAAGGUCGUACUUUUGAUAAAAGCACGGAAAUUUUUUUUUUUUUUUUAAAGUGACCAAAUUAAAUAUGGAUAAUUGCAUUAAAGCCUUAUUUAGGGGUGUCAAAUAUAUCCCGCACAACCAGACUUGGACAGAACUUACGCGAUGUGGGCCAAGUAAUAUCUAGUCAAGGGAUGAGGUUAGGCCGUAGCUCCGGGCAUCACUUGAUAAACUAGGGGUAGUGUCCAAAAUUCUAAUUUUGUUAAGAAAAUUAUAAAAAAAUAUAUUAUUUUAAAAAUAAUUUAUUCGGCCAAUCUAUUACAUACGUUAAAAUUUUUGAACAUUUAAAUUCAUAUUUUCAUGCCUAAUUUCAUUGAAAAAAAUUUAAAAAAAAAAAUAUAUAAAUCUAAACAUAUACAUACUUAAUAUUAUAAAAUAUAAAAUCCAAGGCUUUUGAAGCUCGAACAAAAUGCCUAGCCUAGGUGUUCAAAAAACAUGUCCGUGUCCGAGCUGGGAUUUGCCAUUCCUGGGCCCAACCCCAGGUUUUGUCAUCUCUGGCCUUACUGUAUAUAUAAUUCCAUGAAAUCUGAUUCAUCAUCUAUUGGUCAUAGUUUCUUGUCAAAUUUAUUUCAAUUUUAAACAAUAUCAGAUAUAAAUACCAUUUCACCCUUGAAAAAUUAAAUCUAAUUGCAACAAAAAUAACAACAUGAGAGAACAAAAACUAAUUGAGUAAUUGGUUUAAUCUAUAGGGAUUGAAAGAACAUUUACCUUAUUUAUUAUUUAUAACUAUUUAUUUAGAUCAUUGCAAAGUGCUAACAAAUAAAGAAAAAAAAUUGAUCAUUACACUUACAGUAAUACUAGACAUUCUUUAUUGUAUCCUUCUUUGCUCUAAAUGAUUUGGGACAAUCAAUAAAUUGGAAACUACAUAUUAAUCUUAUGCUUUCAAACUCAUAAAAGAAAAUAAGAUUGAAGCUACUUGUGCAAUAAGUUCUCGAGCCUUAGUCGAGAGAUUUUUAAACAGUUUUAUUUUAUUGGAAUUUAUAUCCUAAAGAGAAUGAUUAAAAAAAAUUGAUUUAAUCUUUAACCAUGCAUUUGGUUAUUUACUUUUUUUCCCUGCUUGUAUAACAAAUACGCCAUAAGCUACAUGAGUCCUUUAUAAGUAAAAUAAUACCAAAAUAGAAAAGAAUUAAAUACACCCACUAUUAACUUACGGGUCUUGUUAUCUUACAAUAUAAAAUGUAACAAACAUUAAAGAAAUUGACAAACAAAUCAACAACAUUACACCACGUGUAACUGUUAGAAUUCUAAUUUUAUCGAUUGAAGCGGUUUGUAGCCGGUUGAAAAAAGUUGGUCGAAAGAGGAAUAAUUUCUACUAUAGCCUGUGCAACCCAAAGCGACAUGAUUUCUUUGAACUCGCAGGCUGAGGAAACUUCCUACUUGCGCAUAUCCGCCCGUUCUGAGCAAGAAAACGAACAGCUUUAGCCAACUCCCAUAUACACUCAUUUGGUGGCUUUUCUCUCCCCUCAAGACAUGUGUGCUCCUCUCAUUGGGUGUGUAUGUUACAGAUUCUUUUUUUUUUUUGAAAGGAAAGAAACUUCAUUACUGUAAAGAACACAUGACUUGUGCUGGUAUAUUUCCCAGCCAUACAACAGAUUCUGAACCUUUUACAGCUAACUUAGCUAAGGUAUGGGCAUUUGCAUUACCAGACCUAAGGGUGUGUUAAAAUCUGACUUCCUGGAACUCUUUUCGACUCUCAUUGAUUUCUGAUAUCACCCAAAAAACCUCAGUUUUGCUGCCCUUUCUGUUGUGUGCCAAAUCAAUGGCUGCUUGACAAUCUGAUUCCAAAAUGACUGCAGUGAUUCCUGCCCUUUUUGCCACUUGCAUUCCCCAUUCAAUUGCUUCAGCUUCUGCAAAAGGCACAUCUCCGUUGAAACUUGAGGGCUUAAUGGCUGCAGCAAACACAUCUCCCUUAUCAUUCCUUAUCACCACUCCCAACCCAGCUCUUUGACUUUGAUGGUCAAUUGCAGCAUCCACAUUUACUUUGCACCAGUUUCCGGGCGGGGGUUUCCAUUGCUUAGGUUUCUCCAUGUUUGAGAUUUCCAACUGCUGUUGCUCAGUCCUUUUGAAUUUUCUAUAGGCUUCUACUACACCUUCAGCUUUGGCAACUGAAAAUAAAGCAUCCAGCUUUUCCUUUUUGAAGAGGAAAUGGUUUCUCGCGUUCCACGUAGCCCACCAAUAUGCAAACUGCAGCUCUGUCUCUUUUUUGUUUAGGAGCCUUGUUGUAUCAAGAAAUAUAUCAAACAUAUUCCUCCCAUGAGAGGCUGUGAUCUCCUCAGCUGCAUGGUGAGAAAGCUGCCUAAUCUUCCUUGCUGCUUUGCAUUCAACCAUUGCAUGAACACUAGUUUCCACGCCUCGCUUGCAUCUUUGACAUAUUGGGUCUGGCACCACCUUCCUUUUCCACAAGUUUUCGGCUGUUGGCAACAAGUUUUUAACAGCCCUCCACAGAAAUAUCUUUAUCUUUUCCGGGAGGUCUAGCUUCCUAUGGCAUUCCAUUGUCUAGGGUCUGGAUUUGAGCUACUUGGGGCACUUGGAAAUUUUUUCUUUUAAAGCUAACUGGUAGCCACUUUUAACCGAAUAUUUCCCAAGCUUAUCAUAGUGCCAACACAACUCAUCCAAUGCUGUGUGCCUUGGCAGGGGAAUCCUUGAAAUGAUUUCUGCAUCUUCUUUAAUAAAAUGCUGCUGGAUCCAAUCCCUCUUCGACUCCCCUUCGGGGCUUAUCAGCUCUGCCACUUUAGUAUCAACAGCAAGGGUUCUUGGCAAUAUUGGCCUAAAAGUUGUUGGCCGCGGCAGCCAAUUGCUUCUGUAAACUUGGACAUUUUCCCCAGAACCGAUUCGCCAUCUUGAGCCUUUUUAGAAUUAUUUGUCUGCCCACAAGAUGCUUCUCCAUAUGAAGGAUGGGUUGGAACCUAACUUGGCGUUGAGAAAGUUCAUCGUUCUUGAAGUAUCUUGCUUUGAGAACUCUUGCCAUUAGAGAUUCCGGAUCUUGAAUAAUUCUCCAGCUUUGCUUUGCUACCAAGGCCUGAUUGAAACAUGACAUGUCUCUGAAACCCAAACCGCCUCUAAGCUUAGCAUGCUCAUCCUCUCCCAUCUAGCCAAUGAAUGCCGUGCUUCUCUUUGUUAGUUCCCCACCAGAAUUUGGCAAUUGCUUUCUGAAUUCCUUCACAUAAUGUCAAUGGAAGUUUAAAUACGCUCAUGGCGUAAGCCGGGACAGCCUGGGCUACCGCCUUUAUCAACACUUUUUUGCCUCCGCUUGAAAAAAAAUUUGUUUUGCCAAAUUGAGAUCUUACUCAAAACUUUUAGCUUUACCUCAUUAAAGAAGCUCAUUUUUUUUCUUCCAAUCAUGGAUGGUAAGCCUAAAUAUUUUUCGUAUUUAGACACCAUCUUCAAUUGGAAAAUGUUUUUGAUGGCUGUGAUAUGCUCUGCUGGGAAGCUUUCCACUACAAAACAUCGAAGAUUUUUCAUAGUUGAAAAUCUGUCCUGAGGCGGCUGCAUAGCAAUCGAAAAUUGCUUUUAAGUUUCGACAAUUUUCAAUGGAUGCUUUGGUGAAAACUAGGCUGUCAUCCGCGAACAAAAGAUGUGAGGACCGUUACUUGUUUAUUAAAUUUGAGACCAUGAAUCAGCUUCUCCCUUUCAGCCUGCAUAAGCAGAUUAGAAAAAGCUUCUGCACAUAAUAUAAACAAGUAAGGUGACAGAGGACACCCCUGCCGCAGCCCCCUUUGCCUCCGCUUGAAAAAAAUUUGUUUUGCCAAAUUGAGAUCUUACUCAAAACUUUUAGCUUUACCUCAUUAAAGAAGCUCAUUUUUUUUCUUCCAAUCAUGGAUGGUAAGCCUAAAUAUUUUUCGUAUUUAGACACCAUCUUCAAUUGGAAAAUGUUUUUGAUGGCUGUGAUAUGCUCUGCUGGAAGCUUUCCACUACAAAACAUCGAAGAUUUUUCAUAGUUGAAAAUCUGUCCUGAGGCGGCUGCAUAGCAAUCGAAAAUUGCUUUUAAGUUUCGACAAUUUUCAAUGGAUGCUUUGGUGAAAACUAGGCUGUCAUCCGCGAACAAAAGAUGUGAGACCGUUACUUGUUUAUUAAAUUUGAGACCAUGAAUCAGCUUCUCCCUUUCAGCCUGCAUAAGCAGAUUAGAAAAAGCUUCUGCACAUAAUAUAAACAAGUAAGGUGACAGAGGACACCCCUGCCGCAGCCCCCUUUGCCUCCGCUUGAAAAAAUUUGUUUUGCCAAUUUGAGAUCUUACUCAAAACUUUUAGCUUUACCUCAUUAAAGAAGCUCAUUUUUUUUCUUCCAAUCAUGGAUGGUAAGCCUAAAUAUUUUUCGUAUUUAGACACCAUCUUCAAUUGGAAAAUGUUUUUGAUGGCUGUGAUAUGCUCUGCUGGAAGCUUUCCACUACAAAACAUCGAAGAUUUUUCAUAGUUGAAAAUCUGUCCUGAGGCGGCUGCAUAGCAAUCGAAAAUUGCUUUUAAGUUUCGACAAUUUUCAAUGGAUGCUUUGGUGAAAACUAGGCUGUCAUCCGCGAACAAAAGAUGUGAGACCGUUACUUGUUUAUUAAAUUUGAGACCAUGAAUCAGCUUCUCCCUUUCAGCCUGCAUAAGCAGAUUAGAAAAAGCUUCUGCACAUAAUAUAAACAAGUAAGGUGACAGAGGACACCCUUGCCGCAGCCCCCUUUGAGGUUGAAUUAAAUUUGUGGCAGCCCAUUAAUGAUGAUUGACAAGGAUGUUGUCGUGAUACAAUUCAUGACUAAAUGAACCCAUUUUUCUGUGAAGCCUAAUCUCCUCAUAAUGUGCUCUAAAAAGCCCCAUUCUACCCUAUCGCUAAUAUCUAAUUUGAGAGAUACCAGCCCAUUUUUCCUCCCUUUACUGUGCCUUAUUUUGUGUAGGCAUUCGUACCCAAUAACAAUAUUGAAUUGUCUUUUGAUUAGAAACCGCCUUGUUUUGAAUUGUCUUUUGAUUAGAAAGGAAAUGAAAGCCUGAAUAGUGGCUUGGUCAUGAAAUGAAUGACAAAUAAAUGAAGCACGCUAUUUAUUUAUUGUUAUUUUUUCAGGCAUUAUGUAAUAUGGUGUAUAAUAAAAUUUGGAAAAAUUUUGUAAUUAAUAGAUAUAUUAUGAAGUACGUUUGUUUACCAUCAGCUUCUAAAAUUUUCAUGAAGUAGUUUUUAAGUAAUUUUCUUAGGCUGAUCAUACGAGUUCAAAUAUUUAAAAAGGUGGGAGGCAAAAAAAUUAAUUUAAAGUUUUUUCUCACCCUCUUAUCUUUUUUAAAACUUAUUUAAGUAAAAAAAAAAAUUGAUUGUUCACCAUCUGGUUUGAGCAAACAUAACAGCGAAUGGGACGCAAUUUAAACCCAAUUAUAAUCAUUACUGAACAACUAAGAUGGGCUGGACUUUGACUUGAUCCAAAAUAUCUAUCAAAAUUUAGAAACUGUUUCUUUCUCAUUCAGAUAUUCAGAUAGAUGGAAAAAGGAAAAAAUAAAAUAAAAUAAAACACAUUGAUGAAAGACUAUUAUAUCUUGGGAGCCUCUAUGUUACAUUGAAUGUACCAUAUAUAACCAAUAAGAACCACAUAAAUUAUGAGACCCACAUAAUUGUGUGGUUUUUAUUAAUUAUGUAUGGUACAUUUAAUGUAACAUAGCAAAAUCCUUAUAUCUUAUGCUGCUUUGAGAAACUCCAAUGUAUUUCAGAGUGAGAAACUUGUGUGGGGGCGGACGACCACGUUGGACCGGCCGUUUAGCAGGCCAUGGGACCCGCAAAUUAUAUGGGUCCCAUAUAAUUUCGUUUUCGGGUCCCGACUGGUCAGACGCACCCCCUUUAACAGUCUAAGCCACAGAAGUUCGCAGAUGCACCACCUGGCAGCCUAACCCACCCAAGUUCUCGGUCGAGUACGUAUCAACAGCAAAGAACUACAUACACAAAAGCUGUAUUAAUUUUGCUAAUUGUUUUCCAAUAGGACAAUCUAAUGAAUAAUGCCAUGAUUGAAUUUUGUCACUCAACUUUUAUAACUACAAUCAUCAUCGGUCUUAAGUUCAAAAUAAAUGCAACAACAUUCUACUAAAUAAGCAUUAAAAAUAAAUAGUAUGUCUACCCCAGCCAAGUCUUUUUCCUAAAGAAGAAAGGAAAUAUUUCAUUACAAAUAAAUUGGGAAUCCUAAAUUAUCCAGCAUUAUAUGUAUCCAUUCGCAGUUUUACUUCUUUAUUCCAAUCUUCAAGAAGGCUAAAAAUAUUAUAUAUCUGUGGUUCUACGAAGAAGCCAAAGGUUGUGAUCUAGCAGCCCCCUCAGGCUACGUUUGGCACGCAUGAUUAGAUUGAAUUGGAUUAAGUUGGAUUAUAUUAUAUUAUUAUAUAUUGUACUAUAUUUGGUACAACAUCGGAUUGGACAAUGUAAAAUCAUAUUUAAAUACAAAAAAUAUUUAUGAAUAUCUAAGAGUAAUAAUUAAAAUUAAUUUAAAAGUAAUUAACAAGAGCAUUAAAUAUGUAGUAAAUUAGUUAUUGGGUAAUCAUAAUUAUAAUAAAUAAAUAUAAAUUAAUAAAACUAUUUAAUUAUUUAAUUAAUAUUUAUUAGAUAUUUUAGAUAUAUUUUAUUUUAUCAAAAAGUUAGCAAAUAAUGUAUAUAUAAAAUCAAUUAUUUACUUGUAUUAUUAAUUUCCAUGAUUAUUUUUAAUAUUACAUUGGUGAUUAUUAAAUUUAAUACAAUCAAUUAUUGUAACAAAUUAUUAAAUAGUUAAUUUUAUUGGAGUAAAAGUACCAAUUUAAUUAGACUAUAAAAAAAUAAAUUCAAGUAAAUCAUGAAUAAAAUAAUUAAUUAAGUAAUUAAAUUUUAGGUUACAAAUAAAAAAUAGUGUUAUUUAUGAAAGAAAUAUGAAUAAAUUUUUUUCUCUUAUUCUAAACCCACUUGUAAAUUAGGAAUUUAGGAUUGUUAAUCCCAUGAUUUAAGGACUAAAUUUAAAUUUAAUCCUUCCUAAUCCAAUCCAAGCAAAGUAGCCAAACAUGAGAUAAAAUAUUUAAUCUCAAAGUUAAUCUAAUCUCAUACUUAAUCCUAACUCCCAAACAUGCACUAACGGUUUAUCUUAAUCCAAUCAAUCCUCCAUCAAAAAAGCCAAGAUCAUGAAACAACUACCAACAUAACAGACAACACGAAAGUGUAUCAGCUGUCAGCGUCAAAACAUUUCCCAUGAUUCAUAAAGUGAUAAAGAUGAAAGGUACAAGUUCUGUUUGAGUUGCGGCAAAGAGCAACAUCCUAUAACAAAAUUCAGGCAUAGAUAAACAGGGUUGUAGAAGCUUAUUCUCUCAUAAAAGAAGAAAUCUAGAUCAAGUUAAGCAAUUAGCAGCCUAGAAAAGACAAGUGAAACAAACCAUUUUAAGUCCACCAAGAGUGAGGCAAAAUGGAUGACUGUCAUUCCUCCGAUGAAAGAAGCUUGAGGCACAAAAGGAUACCCAAAGAAGCAUAAGUGAUGAAUCUACUAUGCUAAAACUACAACCAAGAAGAACUUUGGGCACAGUGUAAAAAGAAUUCAUUGUAUUGACAUUUAUGCGCUACAAUUCUUCAUGACAAACUUUGGCUCAAUUUCUAAGCCUAGUUCUCCAAUAGUCAUUUUCCCAUGAAAGAUAUUCAACAAUUGAGGCACAUGAUCCUGAUAUUUGGUCACGAAUGUAUCCAAGAAGCGCUUGUUAGAAUUUAUCACCAGAGAAGAUAAAUAGAUUUUAUUUUCUUCAUUGAUCAAGCCCUUUGAAAGCAAAACUCUUAUAACUGAACAACGGGGGAUGAUCCUCCUCUCCAAACUAUACGUAAAAGCACUUGGAACAUGGGCAAUAGCUGAAGGGUGCCAACCCAUCCUGUUUACCAAAAAAUUGAAUACGCUGACUAAUUUUGUCUUAGAUGCACUCAUAUAAAUGGGACACUUUCUAAAUGCCAACCUAACGUCCUCAUCAGACCAACCCCACCUCCUCAAGACAUCCAAUUUGCACUCCAAAGUUGAUUGACCAAUUGAAGAAAAUACCUGCAUUGCAUGGACAAAUUCACAUUUUUGAGGAUCAAAACCCAUUUUGAUGACCUUCUUAACAUUUCCAUAGAACUUAUCCUGUCUUUGGAGACAAUUGGGGGAUAACAUGAUAAAAUCAGUGCAAAAUAGGCCUCGGGUAUUCCGAGGUCUCUCAAGAAUGCAAGUUUCGGAGACACAGUCAUCUGCAAAUCAAAACUAAAUAACCACGUUCUUUUUUUCCUCAAAACUUUAAUAACAUUUUCAUCCCAGAAAAACACACUUUUGAGGAAUUUAUAAUUGGGAAUGAGUACAUUCUCCAAGCUUUGACCCAAAAUGGCUGGGAUUGACGAGCAAACAUCAGCAAGUUCAGCGUCUGUGGCCCCAAUAGAGUUCAAGAACUCAAUUUUAGGUAAGAGAGACCUCUUGGGAUGGGCAAAAAGUAACUGUGGGCGCAUCCUAACAAGUUUAGCAAUUUGGGAACCAUUGAAUCCACGAUUUUUCAAAAAUCGAAGGACUGAAUCUGGUUGUUUCGAAGAUUGAAGCUUUACUCUUUCGGCAACAGAUUUUGCAAUUUUUGGGGACAACCCACAUGAGUUUAUGAGGUAUGACACCGUAAAUGAGCAUUCUUUUGGCACUUUCCUUUUAAUUUGUUCGUCUUCAGUUGAGAAUAACUUAACGCCAAAAGGAUUAAACAACCUUGCGUUCUGAACAUUCAAACCCAAACCAGAAAACAAAUCCAAAUAAGAGGUGGCUAAAUCUUGCGCAAUAGACCUAUUACUAUUUGAUAACACUUGUGCUAGUGAUAGCCUUCCAUUACUUCUAUAGAAUAAUCCAUACAUCUUCGAAAACGAAAACUUACAGAUAAUACUAAUGUAAUUGAAUUUCGUUCAGUUGAAAGAAUUCACUCACCAGCUCGUGCUCCUUACUGAAAAGGGGAAGAACAAGAACGCCUCAGCUGAUUCGUUUUAUGGUGCCUCGGGGAUUCACGAAAAAGGUCGUCGUGUCUAUCUUCACACUUCAGACCACCAAAACGACGGCAGUUCUGGGACCGCGCCGUGUUCCAAAGUAAGCAGUCCUUGGCGACAAAAUUUUAGGAUUUUAAACAAGGUGGGUUUGGUACUGGUUUUAUUUUGGCGUUUUCCGUUUUCCAAAAACAAAAUCGUGUAAAAUGCGUUUGCUCACUGGUUUUUGUAUUUCGCGAGAAUGAAUCAUUCUCAUUUUUCAGCAUUUGGUAUUGCAUUUUGAAUGGCGUUCUU